Molecule: long non-coding RNA, 75225 nt
Filed under: Gossypium barbadense (sea-island cotton)
Lineage: Eukaryota; Viridiplantae; Streptophyta; Magnoliopsida; Malvales; Malvaceae
Description: long non-coding RNA (GBAR_LNC009081)
Source: RNAcentral
AAUAAAAAGAAAAAAAAACCCUCUUAGGUUUCAGCCCUUGUUUAUCUUGAUUAAUGUCUGAAUUUUCGUCCGUUUUUUAUAAUUUCCACGUUUCUGUGAUCGUUGCUUCAUGUUCUUCAAAGCCCAUGUCUGAAUUUCUAUUUCUGUUAAAGAUUUCAUGAAAUGACAUUGUUGAUAUCAUGAGCUUUGUGAUGUUUUUGGAUGAAUUAUGAAGGCUUGGUAAAUGAUUAUCAUGUUUUAUCUUUGGAUUUUUGAUGAAAUAGGGAUAAUUGGGCUAAUUUGUGAAAAUGAGGUUUUGAAGGACUAAAUUGUGAAUUAAAUAUGUUACUUGGGCUCGUAUAGAAGCCAUGUAUAUUCGGCCAAGCUAUAGUCUUGGUGAAUUUUGCAUAUUGGUGAUUUUGUGAAAAAUGGACUAAAUUGUCAAAGUGUGAAAAUGUAAGGGCUAAAAUGUAAAGUGCCCUAAAUAUGUGUAUAUGGAUUAAAUUGAAUGAAAUGAAUGGUUGAAUGGUUGAAUUUUUAUUGUAUUAGAUCAAGAACAAAGAAAAUCGGACUUAGAUCGGGGGAAGUCCAAAAUAGUUGAAUAGACGAUUCUUUUUAUCCGAAAUCCGUUCGAGGUAAGUCAAAUUACAAUUACAUGUUAAUUGAAAUAAAUUCUGCACAUAUAAACUGUAAUCUGUAUUGGAUGGCCUUGAGUGCUGGAUAAAUAUAUUUGUAGUAAAGUAUGAUAAUAUGUUAGUAUCUGAAAAGCUCUGUAUGUUUCUAAGAAAAGUUGACAUCUGUCUGAGACAUCGUGUAAGACCGUGUUUGGGACACAAGCCUCAAUUGAGAUUUACGUAUAAGUCCAUGUCUGGGACAUCAUGUAAUGGCCUAAAUUUAAAGUUAUUGGAACAGUGGUUCCGUAACCACAAAUCCGAUUUAAAGAGAAAUUUAUUUCAAUAUUUUGCAUGAAAAUUGAUAUGAUAGGAAAAUCGUAUGAAAAUAUUAAUAGAAAAAUUUUACCGAUUUAGUGGUUAGUUAGAAAAAGAAAUUAUUGAAAAAAUUGGGUAAAAAUAAGGUAUCGGGACCUCUAUCUCGUAAAACCGAGUCAAAAAUAAUUUUAUAAAUAUUUAUGAAAUGUUAGUAAUGUGGUAUUAAAAUUUCAUUAGGAAAUUUUAAUGUUUAGGUAGUCAAUUAAAUGAAAAGGACUAAAUUGUAAUAGGUGUAAAAGUUGCUAGAAUAAUUAAAUAGCUUAAGAGCCUAAUGAGAAAGGAUUUGAAAGGAAAUUAGACCGAAAAUUUAUUUGGGCUGGACGGCAAGGGCAUGAAAUCAACAGGAAAAUUGAUAAAUUAAGGGCAAAAUUGGAAUAUUGCAAAAUUAACUAAAUAAAACUAGGACUAAAUAGGAAAUAUCUAGAUUUCUCUUCAUUUCUCUUCAAUUCUAGCAGCUAAAAACACCUUAGGAGGGUUAUCUAAACUGUUAUUUCAUAAUUUUUGCACCAAAUCCAGAAGAUUCAAAUACGAAGCUUGAUCGAGGAACGGAAAAAGUUCGGGAUUAGUAGAUUUUUUUUUACAAGCAAGUAUCAAGGUAAGUUUGUGUAACUUGAAUUAUAUUCUUAAAUGCUUGAGAUUGUAUGUUAUUGAUGUGAAUAUGAUUUGAAUGUUCAUUGUAUGAAAAUUAAUGAAACAUUGAUAUAUUUGAUAAAAUGGGAAGAAAUAUCGGUUGAAUGAAAGAAAAAUUCGAUGGAUCUCUGAAAAGGAAUUGACGGUAAAAAGAAUCAAGCCCAGACGGGUGAUCCUAUCCUGAUAUACCCCUCCCGAAGAAUAUGUGUAAAAUGGAUUUAGCCCGGACGGGUAAUCCGAAUUAGGGUCUGAAUUUAGCCUGGACUGGUAAUUCAGAUCCAAGCUCGUUAGAGUAAUUGUCGUUGCAGGGGAUUUAGCCUGGACUGGUAAUCCCGACAAUACUCUAGGAGUUUAUAUUGAAGGGGAUUUAGCCUGGACUGGUAAUCCCGCUGCAAGGUUGAGGUUCGCAGGAGUGUGCUCUCUGAAAUGGAAAUGUGCGAACAUGAAUAUGAAUUAACGAACCCAGAAUUGUACACUAAAAGUGUACCUCUAAAAAAUCCAUCGAAAUUCCGAUAAAUUCAAUGGGAUAAAUAUGGAAAAAUGACAAGGAAAUGGAAAUCAUGGUAUUGAUGAGCUCAUCAAUCAUGGUAUAUAUUAUUGGUACAUGGAAAUUAUUGUACUAACUUGAAUGUUGAGUUUGCGCAUAUUAGGGUAAUAAUGCAUUGAACGGAUAUAUGAAUGUUUAUUGUAUUGUAUUGAAAAUAUUAGGUAAGUAUAAUUCUUGUUACAUGAGCUUACCAAGCACAAAGUGUUUACCCCGUUUCCUUUUUCCCUGUUUUGUAGUGAUAAGAGCUCGGAGGUCGGAUUUGGUCGGAGACACAUCACACUAUUAACCUCAGGAUUACGGUAUAUAAAGAAACUUUAUUUUGGAAAUCAAUGGCAUGUAUAAGCUAAUAAAGUAAAUGAUUCUGUGAAAUGAAUGUAGAAGUAGUCAUUGGUAUAGCUAACAAAUCUUGGUUUUGGGUAUGUGAUGAUGUUAUUUUAUAAAUAUGCAUGAAUUUAUCUUGAAAAUAUGUUGAAUUGGAUUGGUUGAUGUGGAUUGUUUUUGGUUUAAAAUUUUAGGGAAGAUUAGAUAUCUAAAAGGGGUUAUAUUGAGUUAAAAAAAAUUAAUUCGUAAACUCCGGUAAUACAUCGUACCCUAUUCCGGCAAUGCAUACGGGUAGGGGUAUUACAUUUAUUGGUAUCAGAGCUACGAUUUAGCCGGUUCUAGGACCGGUGUAGCAAAUAUGGAAUUAGCUAUACAUGCCAUUUAAAUUAUUAUUGAUAGUGUGAUAUCUCUUGACCAUUUAAAAUGUGUUUUUCUUAUAGUAAAUGUCUACCGACCGAGCUCAAUCUGAGGAAGCUGGGAGUGAUGCUCCGGCUUCAGUACAAAGAGAAGAAGCCAACAGUAGACGGCCCGAGAUAGAAGGUCAAGGGGAGGAGGCAAAAAUAGCCUUCUUUCAAAUGAUGAAUGAAUGGUUUAGUCAAUACUUAAGAACUAACCCUGUAGUGCAGCAAGUUCAAGCUCCCCCUCCUGCUCCUCCACCGGUUCCCGAAAUCCCACAGGGUAUAGGUACUGAAUCUGUCAGAAAAGGGAAAGCUCCAGUAGAUAAAAUUUGAAAAUAUAGGGCCGAAGAAUUUCAAGCAGUAGUUGAUGAUGAUUCCGAACGGGCUGAAUUCUGGUUAGAAAACACUACUCGAGUUUUGGAGGAAUUAUCUUGUACACCAGAAGAAUGUCUGAAAUGUGCCGUCUGACUGCUAAAAGACACAGCUUAUCAUUGGUGGAAUACUAAAGCUUCAGUUGUUCCGAAAGAAGAAAUUACAUAGGAGUUCUUUCAGAAUGAAUUUAAAAUGAAAUAUAUCAGCCAGAGGUUCCUUGACCAGAAAAUAAAAGAAUUUCUUGAGCUGAAACAAGGCAAUAGAUCGGUAUUUGAGUGUGAAAGAGAAUUUGUUCGAUUAAGUAAAUAUGCUCGAGAAUGGAUAUAGUCAGAAGCUAAAAUGUGCAAAAGAUUCGAAGAAGGGUUGAAUGAAGACAUUAAGCUAUUGAUCGGAAUUCUUGAAAUUUGAGAGUUUGCUACAUUAGCAGAGAGAGCUUAUAAAACAGAAGAAUUGAGCAAAGAAAAGAAACAGGCUGAGAGGGAAGCUCGAAUUUUUAGUAAAAGACCGAUGGGAAAAUCCUAGUUUUCUACUUCAAAGAAAUUGAAGAAGUACCAGUAUCGUUCUACCUCAGCCACUGGGUAUUCGGGUAGAGAGCGAGGUUCUCAAUACAUUAAUCCAAGACCUUCCACUCUAUCAGUGACCAUUGUUGGCAGUGUUGGCACUCCUAAGCCGAGAUGCCAGUACUGUAAUAAAGCUCAUUUUGGUGAAUGUCGAUUAAAGAGUGGGGCUUGUUACCAAUGUGGUUUUUUUGAUCAUUUCCUCAGACAUUGUCCAGAAAGGGGUGAAAAAGAAGCUGAACAGAUAUCGAAGCCAAGUAAUCCAGUUUCGAGAGGUAGACCACCUCGACCAUCUGGUAAUGUCAGUGGUAGCCGAGGAGUUACGAAAGAUAUUGCAGGCAGGUCUGAAGCACGAGCACCUGAUAGGACAUAUGCCAUCCGUGCCAGAGAAGAUGCCUCAGCACCUGAUAUUAUUACUGGUACAUUUUUUUUACUUGAUACUGAUAUUACUGCAUUGAUUGAUCCUGGUUCUACGCAUUCAUAUAUAUGUGUUAAACUUGCAAUUGUUAAAAAUUUAUCUGUUGAACCUACUGAAUUUGUGGUUAAAGUCUCGAACCCCCAGGGCCAGUCUGUGUUGGUGGAUAAAAUUUGUAAAACUUUUCCACUGAUGGUAAGAGGUUAUUGUUUCCCGACUGAUUUGAUGUUACUGCCAUUUGAUGAAUUUGACGUGAUAUUGGGCAUGAAUUAGUUAACCCAGCAUGAUGCAGUAGUAAAUUGUAGACAGAAAUAUAUUGUGCUAAAAUGUCAGAAUGGAGAGUUGCUCCGGGUUAAAUCUGAUCAGACAGUGGGGUUACCUGAUGUGAUUUCAGUAAUGACAGCAUAGAUGUAUGUCAAAAAAUGGUAUCAUGCUUACUUGGCUUAUGUACUUGACACCAAGGUAUCUGAGUCAAAGAUACAGGCAGUGCCAAUAGUAUGUGAAUUUUUCGAUGUGUUUCCAGAGGAAUUACCAGGGUUGCCACCAGAAAGAGAAGUGGAAUUUUCUAUAGAUUUGAUUCCAGGAACUACUCCGAUCUCCAUAGCUCCGUACCGGAUGGCUCCUACAGAAUUAAAGGAUCUAAAGACACAGUUGCAAGAACUUGUUGACAGGGGUUUUGUCUGACCGAUUCAUUCACCUUGGGGUGUUCUGGUUCUGUUUGUGAAAAAGAAAGACGGGUCUUUGAGAUUGUGUAUCGACUAUCGGCAGCUUAAUAAAGUAACCAUAAAGAAUAAGUACUUGUUACCCCGGAUUGAUGAUUUUUUUAUCAACUAAAAGGUGCUACUGUGUUUUCAAAGAUUGAUCUUUGAUCAAGUUAUUAUCAGUUACGGGUAAAGGAGUCAGAUGUGCCAAAAACAGCCUUUGAAACCAGGUACGGGCAAUAUGACUUUCUGGUUAUGCUGUUUAGGCUAACUAAUGCACCUGCAGUAUUCAUGGAUUUGAUGAACCGGAUAUUCAGACCGUACUUAGAUAGAUUUGUAGUAGUAUUCAUUGAUGAUGUUUUGGUUUAUUCUCGGGAUGAAGAAGAACAUGCAGAACAUUUGAGAAUUGUGUUACAAAUUCUGCAAGAGAAGCAGUUAUAUGCUAAAUUCAGUAAAUGUGAAUUUUGGCUCCGAGAAGUGGGUUUUCUUUGACACAUUGUAUCUGCUAAAGGCAUCAGGGUAGAUCCAAGUAAAAUCUUAGCUAUCGUCAAUUGGAAUCCGCCAAAGAAUGUAUCUGAAGUUAGAAGUUUCUUGGGUUUAGCUGGUUAUUAUCGGAGAUUUGUACAGGGAUUCUCUAUGAUAGCUUCUCCGAUGACUCAAUUAUUGCAGAAAGAUGUAAAGUUCGAGUGGACUGAUGAAUGUCAGCAGAGUUUCAACCGAUUGAAAGAUCUACUAACGAAAGUACCUGUAUUAGUGCAGCCUGGGCCGGGUAAGGAAUUUGUUAUUUAUAAUGAUGCCUCAUUAAAUAAUUUAGGUUGUGUCUUAAUGCAAGAAGGUAAAGUAAUAGCCUAUGCUUCAAGACAACAUAAACCACAUGAAAGAAAUUACCCAGUACAUGAUCUUGAAUUAGCUACUAUUGUAUUUGCGCUGAAGAUAUGGCGGCAUUACUUGCACGGUGAGAAAUUUCAUAUUUUUACUAAUCAUAAAAGUUUGAAAUAUUUGAUGACAUAGUAAGAUUUGAAUUUGAGAUAGCGCAGGUGGCUUGAACUGAUAAAGGACUAUGAUUUGAUUAUUGAUUACCAUCCGGGUAAAACUAAUGUUGUAGCUGAUGCUUUAAGCCAGAAAUCUCUGUUUGUUUUAUGAGCUAUGAAUACCCGGUUGUCAUUGACUGAUGAUGGUUCAAUCAUAGCUGAAUUGAAAGCUAAACCAAUAUUUUUACAGCAAAUAUGUGAAGCUGAGAAGAAUGAUGAGAAGUUACAGGUUAAACAGGCACAGUGUGAGUCAGGUAAUGAGUCUGAAUUUUAGAUUGGUUCUGAUGGUUGUUUAUUAUUCAGAGGUAGGGUAUGUGUACCUCAGAAUUCAGAGCUUAUACAGAAGAUUCUACACAAGGCUCAUAGCGGUACUAUGUCUAUACAUCCGGGGAGUAAUAAAAUGUAUAAUGAUCUAAAAAAGAUGUACUGGUGGUCGGGAAUGAAACGUGAUAUCUCUGAGUUUGUAUCAAGGUGUUUAAUAUGUCAACAAGUUAAAGCUGAACAUCAGGUACCUUUGGGAUUACUUCAGCCAAUUACUAUACCAGAAUGGAAAUAGGAAAGAAUUACUAUGGAUUUUGUAUCGGGGUUACCUUUGUCUCCGAGGAAAAAAGAUGCUAUUUGGGUGAUUGUUGACCGAUUGACAAAGUCAGCUCACUUUAUUCCGGUACGUAUGGAUUAUUCUUUAGAUAAACUACCUGAACUAUACAUAUCUGAGAUUGUCAGGCUACAUGGAGUGCCUGUCUCCAUUAUAUCAGAUAGAGAUCCCGAUUUAUGUCUCGUUUCUGGGACAAAUUGCAAGAAGCCUUGGGUACUCAGUUGUAUUUCAGCACUGCAUUUCAUCCUCAGAUAGAUGGUCAAUCCGAGCAUGUAAUUCAAGUAUUUAAAAGAUAUGCUCCGAUGUUGUAUACUAGAGUUCGAAGAUAAUUGGGAGAGGUAUCUACCUUUGAUUGAAUUUGCUUACAACAAUAGUUAUAGUCGAGUAUUAAAAUGGCUCCGUAUGAAGCUUUGUAUGGUAGAAAAUGUAGAACACCAUUAUAUUGGACAGAGCUCAGUGAAAGGAAGAUACAUGGGGUUGAUUUGAUUCGGGAAACAGAAGAAAAAGUAAAGGUUAUUCCAAAUAGUCUAAAAGCAGCUUCCGAUCGUCAAAAAUUAUAUGCCGACCUUAAACGAAAAGAGAUUGAAUUUCAAGUCAGUGACAAGGUAUUCAUGAAAGUGUCUCCUUGGAAGAAAGUUCUCCGAUUCGGUCGAAAGGGUAAACUGAGUCCAAGAUUUAUCGGGCCAUAUGAAAUCAUAGAAAGAAUAGGACCGGUCGCUUAUCGAUUGGCAUUACCACCGGAACUUGAUAGAAUCCAUAAUGUUUUUCAUGUAUCUAUGUUACGAUGAUAUCGAUCAGAUCCUUCACAUGUUAUUUCUCCGAUAGAAGUGGAGAUUCAACCGGAUAUGACUUACAGUGAAGAACCGGUCAAGAUAUUGGCACGGGAGACAAAAGAGCUUAAAAAUAAGAAGAUAAAUUUGGUUAAAGUAUUGUGGCAACAGCACGGGAUUUAAGAAGCGACAUGGGAACCGGAGGAGGCAAUGAGGAAACAAUACCCAAAUCUCUUUACUGGUAAGAUUUUUGAGGACGAAAAUCCUUAAAGGGGGGAGAGUUGUAAUGGCCUAAAUUCAAAGUUAUCGAAACAGUGGUUUCGUAACUACAAAUCCGAUUUAAAGAGAAGUUUAUUUCAAUAUUUUUGCAUGAAAAUUGAUAUGAUAGGAAAAUCGUAUGAAAAUAUAGAUAGAAAAAUUUUACCGAUUCAGUGGUUAGUUAGAAAAAGAAAUUAUUGAAGAAAUUGGGUAAAAACAAGGUAUCGAGACCUUUAUCUCGUAAAACUAAGUCUAAAAUAAUUUUAUAAAUAUUUAUGAAAUGUUAGUAAUGUGGUAUUAAAAUUUCGUUAGGAAAUUUUAAUGUUUGGGUAGUCAAUUAAAUGAAAAGGACUAAAUUGUAAUAGGUGUAAAAGUAGCUAGAAUGAUUAAAUAGCUUAAGAGUCUAAUGAGAAAGGAUUUAAAAGGAAAUUAGACCCAAAAUUUAUUUGGGCUGGACGGCAAGGGCAUGAAAUCAGCAGGAAAAUUGAUAAAUGAAGGGCAAAAUUGGAAUAUUGCAAAAUUAACUAAAUAAAACUAGGACUAAAUAGGAAAUAUCUAGAUUUCUCUUCAUUUCUCUUCAAUUCCAGUAGCUAAAAACGCCAUAGGAGGGUUCUCUAAGCUGUUAUUUCAUAAUUUUUGCACCAAAUCUAGAAGAUUGAAAUAUGAAGCUAGAUCGAGGAAAGGAAAAAGUUCGGGAUUAGUAGAUUUUUUUUUUACAAACAAGUAUCAAGGUAAGUUCGUGUAACUUGAAUUAUAUUCUUAAAUGCUUGAGAUUGCAUGUUAUUGAUGUGAAUAUGAUUUGAAUGUUCAUUGUAUGAAAAUUAAUGAAACAUUGGUAUAUUUGAUAAAAUGGGAAGAAAUCCCGGUUGAAUGGAAGAAAAAUUCGAUGGAUCUCUGAAAAGGAAUUGAUGGUAAAAAGGAUCAAGCCCAGACGGGUGAUCCUAUCCUGAUAUAGCCCUCCCGAAGAAUAUGUGUAAAAUGGAUUUAGCCCGGAUGGGUAAUCCGAAUUAGGGUCUGAAUUUAGCCUGGACUGGUAAUUCAGAUCCAAGCUCAUUAGAGUAAUUGUCGUUGCAGGGGAUUUAGCAUGGACUGGUAAUCCCGACAAUACUCUAUGAGUUUAUAUUGUAGGGGAUUUAGCCUGGACUGGUAAUCCCGCUGCAAGGUUGAGGUUCGCGGGAGUGUGCUCUCUGAAAUGGAAAUGUGCGCACAUGAAUGUGAAUUGACGGACCCAGAAUUAUACACUAAAAGUGUACCUCUAAAAAAUCCAUCGAAAUUCUGAUAAAUUCAACGGGAUAAAUAUGGAAAAAUAACAAGGAAAUGGAAAUCAUGGUAUUGAUGAGCUCAUCAAUCAUGGUAUAUAUUAUUGGUACAUGGAAAUUAUUGUACUAACUUGAAUGUUGAGUUUGCGCAUAUUAGGGUAAUAAUGCAUUAAACGGAUAUAUGAAUGUUUAUUGUAUUGUAUUGAAAAUAUUAGGUAAGUAUAAUUCUUGUUACAUGAGCUUACCAAGCAUAAAGUGUUUACCCCGUUUCCUUUUUCCCGGUUUUGUAGUGAUAAGAGCUCGGAGGUCGGAUUUGGUCGGAGACACAUCACACUAUCAACCUCAGGAUUUCGGUAUAUAAAUAAACUUUAUUUUGGAAAUCAAUGGCAUGUAUAAGCUAAUAAAGUAAAUGAUUCUGUGAAAUGAAUGUAGAAGUAGUCAUUGGUAUAGCUAACAAAUCUUGGUUUUGGGUAUGUGAUGACGUUAUUUUAUAAAUAUGCAUGAAUUUAUCUUGAAAAUAUGUUGAAUUGGAUUGGUUGAUGUGGAUUGUUUUUGGUUUAAAAUUUUAGGGAAGAUUAGAUAUCUAUAACGGGGUUAUAUUGAGUUAAAAAAAAUUAAUUCGUAAACUCCGGUAAUACAUCGUACCCUAUUCCGGCAAUGAAUAUGGGUAGGGGUAUUACACAUCGACAUCGUAUUUGAUUUCGUGUAAGACCCUGUCUGGGACAGAGGCAUCGAUAUUGAAUUACAUGUAAGACCAUGUUUCGAACGUCGGCAUUGUACUUGUUUAUGAGCAUCUGUAUUGUUGUUGACCCCUCUGAUGAUAGCGUACGAAAUUUGAGAUUGAGUAUAUGAAAUGUAUAACCUAUGCAGGUACGUUUGUAUCGUACUAAAUUUCUGAAUAUGAAAAACUCUGUCUCUGUGAAAUAUGUAUGGAAAUGAAGCAUGACAUAUAUGCAAACAAAGGAACAUGAUUAAGUUUAUGAAUUAUUCUAUGAAAUGGUUAUGAAUCUUUAUGGUUGAAUUGUACUUAUAUGCUUUAGUAGUUAGACCAAUUGUAUUUGGCUUACUAAGCUCUUUGUAGCUUACUCUGUGUGAUUACUGUCUGUUUUACAGUUAUCGUAGCUACUGAAGGCUCGGGGAUAGUUGAGGAUCGUCACCACACUAUCGAUCUCAUUUUGGUACUUUUGAAAGUGUAUAUAUUUUAAAGUAUGGCAUGUAUAGGCUAGAAGGUCUAUGUAUAAGUUUUGAUGUGUAUAUAUUAUGCCAUGAGAGUUGGCUAACAAAUGACAAGUUUGUGUAUGGUUUUGGUGUAUGUUUGUAAUGUGCUAAGUUCUAAUAUGUUUUGGUCAUUUUUAAGCAUAGAAUUGGUUGGAAAUUUUGGUAUUAAUGUUGUAUAUUAUUGCUUGAAGGUUUGGCCCCAAGAGAAGUGGCAAAUUGGCUUAAACCAAGCCUGCAUUGUGCCGCACGGUCAAGAUACACGGGCGUGCCUUGUGACCGUGUAAGAAAAGCAAUAUUGUCCUAAGAACCAUACAGUUUUGACACACGGGCGUGUCAUAUGGCCGUGGGCUAAAGUCAGUAACUAGCUAAGUAUCACAUGGCCAUAGUACACGGGCGUGCCCAUUGGCCUUGUGAAAAAGUCAGUAUAGGAUCUAUUUUUGGCACGGCUGGUUCACAUGGGAGUGUUUAGGGGCCGUGUGUGACACACGGCCUAGUCAAACGGAAGUGUGACUUUAACCGUUUGAUAGAAUUGGUUAUGUUCUGAAAAUUUUUAAAAUUUAGUUUCUUAAAUGUAUAUUUUAGGUCUCGCAGACCACGUUGUUGAAUGAAUUGUUGAUGAAUGCCUCUGUAUUAAUUAUAUUUAAUAUAUGUUAUUUUCUAUUGGUCUAAAAUGUUCUGUCUGUCUGGUAAUGCCUCGUAACCCUAAUCUAAUGUCGGUUAUAGGUUAGGGGUGUUACAUUUUAUUGGUAUCAAAGCUAUGGUUUAGUUGGUUCUAAGACUACCAUAAUGUAUGUAAGUCUAGCUAUACAUGCCAUAUAUCUGAAUCUAUGAUAGUGUGAUGACUCCUGACAUUGAAAUGUGCUUUUAUAUAGCAAAUGGAUCCCGAUAGAGCUGUAGCUGACGAUGUUGAAAGCAAUGCGCCUGUUCCCGCGCAAGGGACGGUGCAAGAUGAUUCACAACCUGUAACACCCCAAACUCGGCCUGGAAGUUUGGCUCGAAUCUGGCAUGUCACAUUGAAGUGUUUUUCGAAAACCAUGUUUCCAUUAAAAACCCUUCUUAAUAAUUAAAAACUUAUACCCUUUUUAAACCUUGUUAGAAACCUCAGCUGAAUAAAAUUCUUAACAACUUUGUGAAAAUCUUAGCAGUUGCGGAAGCUUGAUUUAAAAACAAUUACGGAUACGUGAUGUUUUGAACAAUAGUAGUUGUAUUGGAAAACCGUGUUCUAAUACUAGCAAUUAUAAGAACAAUAAAUAAAAUUCCAAAUUUGAAAUCCAGAAAAUUACAACGGCUUUACUACAACCCACAUAAAAACAUUUAAAAGUAAUAAUCAAAACUAUAACAUAAACAGUAUGUGUGGCUUCCUCCGAGCCCCUCGCAGCUCUGAUCCGUCUAAGGCUGGAAAUUACCUAAAAGGUUAAUAAACGGGGUGAGUUUACGAAAACUCAGUAUGAAAUCCCCUACUACAUAAAAGGAACAGUCAGUCAUAUAAAAGAAUUAAAAGUCUGGCCCCAGCCCUACUUACAGUUUCAGUAUCAAUUAGGCCUUAGCCCAUUAUAACAAACAGUACCAGAUGGGCCUUAGCCCAUUACAGAAUAAGAAACAUUAUCAGAACUAGAAUCAAAAUGAGAAUCAAAAUUAGAAUCAGAAUCAGGUGAUAGAAUCAAAAUCAAAAUCAGAAUCAAAAUCAGGUAACAGAAUCAGAAUCAGUAUCAGGUAAUAGAAUCAGGAUUAGAACCAGAAUUAGAAUUAGGUAACAGAAUCAGAAUCAAUAUUAGGUAACAGAAUCAGAAUCAGAAUGUGAAUGCAAACCCAACCAAAUCCAUUCGUAUACAUCCCCAUACCAACCUUACACCAUGUGGAAAGACAACUCGACCUACCCAUCCGCUACACACCACAGAAUUUGCAGCGAGGCUGCCAGAUAUUGUGACGAAGUCACCAGAUACAGAUAUUGUGGCUAGGCCACCAGAACAGAUAUAUAUAUGUGGCGAAGCCACCAGAUUGCAGCGAGGCUGCCAGAUAUUGUGACGAAGUCACCAGAACAGAUAUAUGUGGCGAGGCCACCAGAUUGCAGCGAUGCUGCCAGAACGCGUCCUCCAUCAAUAUAACCCAUAUCCCAUGCAACAGAUAUACAUGUCAUCGCAUACCACAUACAAAAUCAGAAUAUCAUGUCCAUAUUUGAAUCAAACAAUCAUAGUCAAGUCAUUCAUAUCACCAACAUAUAUUCACAAUCAAAUCCGUCAACCACACAGUCCAAGUCAGUCACUAUCCCACAAGGGCAAAACAGUCAUUUAACACCCUAGGGGUAAAAUGGUAAUUUUACCCCACAAGGGUAUCUCGGUAAUUCUACCCUACAGGGGUAUUUCAGUAAUUCUACCCUACAGGGGUAUUUCGGUAUUUCUACCCUACAAGGGUAUUUCGGUAAUUCUACCCUACAGGGGUAUUUCAGUAUUUCUACCCUACAGGGGUAUUUCGGUAUUUCUACCCUACAAGGGUAUUUCAAUAAUUUUGUAAAUCGAGGGUAAAACGGUAAUUCUGUAAAUUAGGGGUACUUUGGUAAUUUUACAAGUCGAGGGUAUUUCAAUAAUUUUACAGGUCGAGGGUAUUUCAAUAAUUUCACAAAUCAGGGGUAUUUUGGUAAUUUUACAAACUAGGGAUAUUUUGAUAAUUUUACAAACCAGGGGUAUUUUGGUAGUUUUACAAACCAGGGGUAUUUUAGUAAUUUUAUAAACAAAGGGUAUUUAAGUAAUUUUACAAACCAGGGGUAUUUUGGUAAUUUUAUAAACCAAGGGUAUUUUUGUAAUUUUACAAACCAGGGGUAUUUUAGUGAUUUUAUAAACCAAGGGUAUUUUAGUAACUUUACAAACCAGGGGUAUUUUGGUAAUUUGAUAAACUAAAGUUUCUAAACAGGGAUAACAAUACGAAUGGGCCUAAAGCCCUUUCUCGGCCCAAAUGGGCCCACACGCUCGUGUGGCCCUUUUAGCCCAAAUCUAGCCAUAGAUAUGAGAUUCACCUAACCUAGUCUAAUAUUUACUACACAAUCAAACAACUUAUCCAAUUGGGCCCGUAGGCCCAUUGGGCCGACAUGGCCCCUUUCGGCCCAUCGAGGCCCGAAGUAGCCAUCCUACAGCUAAAGUAGUGAGAAAUACACACCUGAUUGGAGACUGGAGUUAAUCCACGCUCCGAGCACUCUUAGCCGGCGCCCAACCCAACCGAGCACGCCACAAAGCGAAAGGGAUCAGCCAAGAAGGGUACAUUUACUCUCCUCAUGGUUCUCUCUAUUUAAAGCCAGUUUCGCAUCCACUCUUAUGUUAGCUUCCCGAUGUGGGAUCCCUCCAUCAUCAGAGUUUAAAUUCAACACCAACUCUUGCUGCCCCUUGUUAGCAAAAUAAAUGCUCUUUGCUAGCCAUGGGAUUCGAACCCAAGCCUCCCCUCAAAUGCUCCACACGCUACUUGCCACUAAGCCACAAGGCUUUUUUGUGUCACAAUUUCUCCAACAAUAUUCUUAAGGCCUACCUACUACAUCCAGGGUUUGAUUCACCUUAUACCAAAAUUUUUGCUAGAGUCCAGGUUUGAACCCAGGACUUCUCCAACACUUCUCAGCAUACUUAACCACUAAAACAAGCCUUCAACUAUGAAAUUUUCAUGCAUAACAGAAUAUUAUAAGCUGCCUUCUACCGCUCCCUUGCUCAAGGCCUAAAACUUCUAGGCCUAAAUUUAAGGUGUUACACAACCGACUAUGAGUAGCCGUGAUAGCGAGGCUAAGCAAGCCUUCUAUCAGAUGAUGAAUGAAUGGUUCACCCAAUACGACCCAAUCCGACUGUACAACAACCUCCACCCCCAGUUAAUCCUUUUCAAAUUCCUGAUAUGCUAUGAGUAAAUUUGGUACAGUUGAGUAGACCACCGGUUGAUAAGAUUAGAAAGUAUGGGGUGGAGAGUUCCGAGCUACAAUGAAUAAUGAUGCUGAAAGAGCCGAAUUCUGGUUGGAAAAUACAAUACGAGUGUUUGAUGAAAUGUCUCUGAAUCUUGAGGAAUGUGUAAAAUUUGUUAUCUCACUUCUGAGAGAUACAAUGUAGCAUUGGUGGAAAACUUUAAUAUCUGUAGUCCCGAGUGAACGGGUUACGUGAGAUUUCUUCCAAUCUGAAUUUCGGAAGAAAUACAUUAGUCAGAUAUUCAUUGAUCAGAAACGUAAAGAAUUUCUUGAGCUUAAACAGGACCGUAUGUCUGUUACUGAAUACGAACAUGAAUUUGUGAGAUUGAGCCAGUAUACCCAGGAAUGUGUAUCAAAUGAAACAAUAAUGUGCAAAAGGUUUGAAGAUGGACUAAACGAAGAUAUCCGUCUGUUAGUUGGAAUUCUGGAAAUUAAAGAAAUGGUUGUGCUCGUUGAGCGAGCUUGUAAAACUAAAGAAUUAAGUAAAGAGAAAAGAAAAGCUGAUUCUGAAGCUUGAGUUGCUAGAAAAAGAUCUUUGAGUAGAUCAUUCCAGUCUGUGAGAAAAAAAUUUCGAGAUGAUCAAAGUCGGCCAAAUGCUAAUGUGAGACAUUUAAACCGAGAUCGAGCUAGAUUGCAUACAAACUUCAGAGUCCCUGCUACUUCUGUUGCAAGUGUUGAGAAUUUCCGAUCUGAGAGACCUGAAUGUAAACACUGUGGAAAAAGACAUCCGGGAAAUUGUAGAUCGAAUAAUCGAGCCUGUUUUUGAUGUGGAUCUCUGGAUCAUUUCGUAAGAGAUUGUUCUGAACCUGCUGAACAAGAGAAUGUAUAGAAUUUGAGACCGAGUAAUACCUCAGCUAGAGGUAGACCUUCCAGAAAUACGGGAAAUGUUAGCGGAGGUCAAAGAGAUACUAGGGAUACUACUGUUAGAUCUGAGGCCAGAGUACCUGCCAGAGCCUGUGCUAUCCGAGCUCGUGAAGAAGUUACGUCUCCAAACAUGAUUACUGGUACUUUCACUCUUUAUGAUACUUCUGUGAUUGCAUUGAUAGACCCUGGAUCAACGUAUUCUUAUAUCUGUAUGAAUUUAGUGCAUAGUAAGAUUUUGCCUGUAGAGUCUACUAAAUUCGUAAUUAGAGUAUCGAACCCCUUAGGCAAAAGUGUCAUAGUUGAUAAAGUCUGCAAGAAUUGCCCGUUAUUGAUUCGAGAUAUCUAUUUUCCUGCUAAUCUGAUUCUUUUACCUUUCGAUGAAUUUAACAUAAUUCUAGGAAUGGAUUGGUUAACUCUGCAUGAUGCUAUUGUGAAUUGCAAACAAAAAGUCAUUGAUUUAAGGUGUGAGAAUGAUGAAAUAAUCUGAAUUGAGUCUACUUAUCUGAAUGGACUACCAGCUGUGAUAUCUGCAAUGAAAAUACGGAAAUAUGUGAAGAAAGGUUGUGAAGCCUACUUAGCUUACGUGUUAGAUCUGAAAGUGAAUGAUAAGAAAGUUGAAUCAGUGACUGUUGUUUGUGAAUUCUCUGAUAUGUUUCUUGAAAAACUGUCUGGUUUGCCUCUGAUUCGAGAAGUCGAGUUUGGCAUUGAAUUAGUACGUGGUACUACUCUGAUUUCAAUACCUCCGUAUAGAAUGGCUCCGACUGAAUUAAAGGAAUUGAAAUCUCAGUUACAAGAAUUGACCGAUCGAGGGUUUGCUAGACCGAGUUUCUCACCUUGGGGCGCUCUUAUUCUAUUUGUGAAAAAGAAAGAUGGCACAAUGAGAAUGUGUAUUGAUUACUGCCACCUUAACAAAGUGACUGUAAAGAACAAAUAUCCUCUGCCUAUAAUUGAUGACUUAUUCGAUCAGUUGAAAGGUGCUACUGUGUUUUCCAAGAUAGAUUUAACAUCGGGUUGCUACCAGUUGUGAGUAAAGGAUACUGACAUUCCAAAAACUGCUUUUAGAACGAGGUACGGACAUUAUGAAUUUUUAGUUAUGUCUUUUGGUUUAGCGAAUGCACCUGCUGUAUUUAUGGAUUUAAUGAAUAGAAUUUUCAGACCGUAUCUUGAUCAAUUUGUGGUUGUAUUCAUUGAUGACAUAUUGUUUUAUUCACAAGAUGAAACUGAACAUGCCAAGUAUUUAAGAAUAGUGCUACAAGUUCAGUGAGAUAACCAGUUGUAUGCAAAGUUUAGUAAAUGUGAAUUCUAGUUGUGAGAAGUUGGUUUUUUGGGUCAUAUUGUAUCAGUUUCCAGUAUCCGAGUUGAUCCGAGCAAGAUUUCAGCUAUUCUGGAUUGGAAGCCUCUGAGGAAUGUAUCUGAAGUCUGUAGUUUUUUGGGACUUGUCGUUUACUACAGACGAUUUGUAAAAGAUUUCUCUGUGAUAGAAACUUCGUUGACAAAAUUGCUUCAGAAAUAUGUGAAAUUUUAAUGGCCUGAGCAAUCUCAGAAAAUUUUUGAUCGGUUAAAAGCUUUGUUAACUGAAGCUCUGGUAUUGGUAAAACCUGAGUCAGGUAAAGAAUUCGUUGUUUACAAUGAUGCUUCGUUGAAUGGACUCGGUUGUGUUUUGAUGCAAGAAGGGAAAGUUGCUGCUUAUGCUUCGAGAAAAUUAAAGCCGCAUGAGAAGAACUGUCUAACACAUGACCUUGAGUUAGCUGCCAUUGUGUUUGCUUUGAAGAUCUAGCGUCACUAUCUGUUUUGUGAGAAAUGUCACGUGUUUUCUAAUCAUAAAAGUCUGAAGUAUUUAAUGACGCAAAAAGAUUUGAAUAUGCGACAGAGAAGAUGGUUAGAGCUGUUAAAAGACUACGAACUCGUGAUUGAUUAUCAUUCGGGCAAAGCUAACGUUAUUGUUGAUGCUCUAAGUAGGAAAUCAUUGCCUGCGUUGCGUGUUAUGAACGCUCAUUUAGUUCUGUCUGAUGAUGGUUCAGUUUUAGCUGAAUUAAAAGCAAGACCUUUGUUUUUACAACAGAUUAUCGAAGCUCAGAAGAUUAAUAAUGAGAUUUUGGCUAAACGAAUUCAGUGUAAUUCUGAUUCUGAUUCUAAAUUCUGGAUAGAUGAUGAUGACUUUCUGAGGUUUAGAAAUAGACUUUGUGUUCUGAGAAAUCCGGAGUUGAUUCGGAUGAUUUUGAGUGAAGCUCACAGUAGUAGAUUUUCUGUACAUCCGAAGAGUACGAAAAUGUGUAAAGAUUUGAAACAACUAUAUUGGUGGCCGAGAAUGAAAAGUGAUAUUUCUGACUUUGUUUUGAGAUGUUUAAUCUGUCAGCAAGUUAAAGCUGAGCAUUAGGUUCCAUUUGGGUUAUUACAACUGAUUAUGAUUCCGGAGUGGAAAUGGGAUCGAGUGACCAUGGAUUUUGUUCCGGGUUUGCCUGUGUCUCCGAAAAAGAAAGACGCAAUUUGGGUUGUAGUUGAUCGUUUAACGAAAUCAGCUCAUUUUAUUCCGAUUCGGUGUGAUUAUUCGUUUGAUAAGCUAGCUGAGUUGUAUAUUUCUGAUAUUGUGAGAUUGCAUGGUGUGCCAUUAUCAAUAGUAUCUGAUAGAGACCCGAGAUUUACAUCACGAUUUUGGAAGAAAUUGCAAGAUGCUCUGGGAACUAAAUACAUUUUAGCACUGCUUUUCAUCCGCAAACGGAUAGUCAAUCUGAAUGAUUUAUUCAGAUACUUGAGGAUAUGUUAAGAUGUUGCAUUCUCGAGUUUGAAGGUACAUGGGAACAGUAUCUACCCCUUAUUAAAUUUUCUUAUAAUAACAGUUUUCAGUCGAGCAUUAAAAGGGCACCGUACGAAGCUUUAUACGGUAGAAAGUGUAGAACUCCGUUAUACUAGUCUGAGCUCUUUGAGAAUAAGAUUUACGGUAUUGAUUUGAUAAAAGAAACAGAAUAGAAAGUGAAAGUAAUCCGAGAUAGUUUGAAAGUUGCCUCUGAUCGUCAAAAAUCUUAUGCGGAUUUAAAACGAAAAGAUAUCGAAUUUGAGGAUGGUGAUAAAGUGUUUCUGAAAGUAUCUCAGUGGAAGAAACUGUUUCGAUUUGGUAAAAAGGGGAAGUUGAGUCUGAGGUUCAUUGGACCGUAUGAAAUCACCGAGCGAGUUGCGCCAGUUGCUUAUAGAUUGAGGCUACCAUCUGAGUUGGAAAAGAUACAUAAUGUAUUUCACGUAUCGAUGCUUCAACGAUACAAAUCUGAUCCUUCGCAUGUAAUUUUUCAGUCUGAUAUUGAAAUCUAUUCUAAUAUGACUUAUGAAGAAAAGUCGAUUCGUAUUCUGUCUCGUGAGAUUAAAGAAUUAUGUAAUAAAAGAAUUCCAUUGGUUAAAGUGCUGUGGCAUAGACACGGAGUAGAAGAGGCUACGUGGGAGCCUGAGGAUGCAACGAAACAACAAUAUCCGAAUAUGUUUAACGGUAAGAUUUUUGGGGACGAAAAUCCCUAAGGGGGGAGAAUUGUAACAGUCCGAUUUAGACCUAGUCGAAAUAGUAGUUUUGGGACCACAAAUCUGAGUCCAAAAAAUAUUUUAAUAUUAUUUUGUGUCUGUGAUAUAUGAAUUUGUAUCUAUGAAAUUUCUGUGAUUUAAUUUGUUUGUUUCUGUGCUCGAUUUUACAAAAAGGAUUUAAUCGCGUAAAUGAUAAAAUCUGUAUGUCAGAUAUUCAAUGUGUUUAAUUGGCAUGGCUUUGGAUUAUAUGGCCUUAUGUGGCAACUAUUCCAUUAAAUUUUUGAGUGGUCAUAAAUGACCUUGUCUCAUGUAAUUUAUAUGUUUAUUAAUGAAGGAUACAAGGGUAAUUCAUGCUUUAACAUGAAUUAAAGAAAACAAAAUUCAUGCAUGUGUUCAUAAAACACCUAUUAGAACCGAAAAUCAAAGAAAAUAAAAUGAAUAAAAAAACCCUCUUAGGUUUCGGCCCUUGUUCUUCUUGAUUAAUGUCUGAAAUUUCGUCCGUUUUUGAUAAUUUCUACGUUUUUGUGAUCGUUGCUUCAUGUUCUUCAAAGCCUAUGUCUGAAUUUCUAUUUCUGUUAAAGAUUUCAUGAAAUGACAUUGUUGAUAUCAUGAGCUUUGUGAUGUUUUUGGAUGAAUUAUGAAGGCUUAGUAAAUGAUUAUCAUGUUUUAUCUUUGGAUUUUUGAUGAAAUAGAGCUAAUUGGGCUAAUUUAUGAAAAUGAGGUUUUGAAGGACUAAAUUGUGAAUUAAAUAUGUUACUUGGGCUCGUAUAGAAGCCAUGUAUAUUCGGCCAAGCUAUAGUCUUGGUGAAUUUUGCAUAUUGGUGAUUUUGUGAAAAAUGGACUAAAUUGUCAAAGUGUGAAAAUGUAAGGGCUAAAAUGUAAAAUUCCCUAAAUAUGUGUAUAUGGAUUAAAUUGAAUGAAAUGAAUGGUUGAAUGGUUGAAUUUGUAUUGUAUUAGAUCAAGAACAAAGAAAAUUAGACUUAGAUCGGGGGAAGUCCAAAAUAGUUGAAUAGACGACUCUUUUUAUCCGAAAUCCGUCCGAGGUAAGUCAAAUUACAAUUACGUGUUAAUUGAAAUGAAUUCUGUACAUAUAAAAUGUAAUCUAUAUUGGAUGGCCUUGAGUGCCGGAUAAAUAUAUUUGGAGUAAAGUAUGAUAAUAUGUUAGUAUCUGAAAAGCUCUAUAUGUUUCUAAGAAAAGUUGACAUCUGUUUGAGUCAUCGUGUAAGACCGUGUCUGGGACACAGGCCUCGAUUGAGAUUUCCGUAUAAGACCAUGUCUGGGACAUCGACAUCGUAACUGAUUUCGUGUAAGACCCUGUCUGGGACAGAGGCAUCGAUAUUGAAUUACAUGUAAGACCACAUCCGGGACAUCGGCAUUGUACUUGUUUAUGAGCAUCAGUAUCGUUUUUGACCCCUCUGAUGAUAGCGUAUGAAAACUGAGAUUGAGUAUAUGAAUUGUAUAACCUAUGCAGGUACGUUUGUAUCAUACUGAAUUUCUGAAUAUGAAAAAUCUUGUCUCUGUGAAAUAUGUAUGGAAAUGAAGCAUGGCAUAUAUGCAAACAAAGGAGCAUGGUUAAGUUUAUGAAUUAUUCUAUAAAAUGGUUAUGAAUCUUUAUGGUUGAAUUCUACUUAUAUGCUUUAGUAGUUAGACCAAUUGUAUUUGGCUUAUUAAGCUCUUUGUAGCUUACUCUGUGUGAUUACUUUCUGUUUUAUAGUUAUCGUAGCUACUGAAGGCUCGGGGAUAGUUGAGGAUCGUCACCACACUAUUGAUCUCAUUUUGGUACUUUUGAAAGUGUAUAUAUUUUAAAGUAUGGCAUGUAUAGGCUAGAAGGUCUAUGUAUAAGUUUUGAUGUGUAUAUAUUAUGCCAUAAGAGUUGGCUAACAAAUGACAAGUUUGUGUAUGGUUUUGGUGUAUGUUUGUAAUGUGCUAAGUUCUAAUGUGUUUUGGUCAUUUUUAAGCAUAGAAUUGGUUGGAAAUUUUGGUAUUAAUGUUGUAUAUUAUUGCUUGAAGGUUUGGCCCCAAGAGAAGUGGCAAAUUGGCUUAAACCAAGCCUGCAUUGUGCCACACGGUCAGGGUACAUGGGCGUGCCUUAUGGUCGUGUAAGAAAAAUAAUAUUCUCCUAAGAACCACGGGCAUGUCAUAUGGCCGUGGGCUAAAGCCAGUAGCUAGCUAAGUAUCACACGGCCAUAGUACAUGGGCGUGCCUAUUGGCCGUGUGAAAAAGUCAGUAUAGGACCUAUUUUUCGCACGGCUGGUUCACAUGGGCGUGUUUAGUGCCCGUGUGUGACACAUGGCCUAGUCACACAGGCGUGUGACUUUAACCAUUUGAUAGAAUUAGUUAAGUUCUGAAAAUUUUGAAUAGGUUCGGUUUAGUUCCGAUCUUUCCUUAAAUGUAUGUUUUAGGUUUCGUAGACCACAUUGUUGAAUUAAUUAUUGAUGAAUGCCUUUGUAUUAAUGAUAUUUAAUAUAUGUUAUUCUGUAUUGGUCUGAAAUGUUCUGUCUGUCUGGUAAUGCCUGUAACCCUAAUUCGAUGCCGGUUACAGUUUAGGGGUGUUACAGUAUGAUUAUGUUGAUAUGUAUGAGAUGAUAUACAUAAUGAAAUAGUCAUAAGUUGUGAAACAUGGACAAAUUGUCGUGUUCUGGUUGAAUGUUGAAUUUCGAUAGAUUAAGAUGAUUUCUUGAAUAAGAAUAAUACUACAUAUGUUGCAAAUAGAAUUUAGCCCAGACGGGUAAUUCUAAUGUAAGCCCUCUUAAGCUUAUACUAUAGACUGGAUUUAGCUCGGACGGGUAAUCCAAAUUAAGCUCUCUAGAGCAUAUAAGAUGGAUAGGAUUUAGCCUGGACUGGUAAUCUUGUUGUAAAAUGUGUGGCUCAAGAGUGUGUCUUUCUAUUAUGUACCCUAACGGCUACUUUUGCACAUGAGUAUACCACCCGAACAUCCAUUGAAAUUUCAAUAGUUCGACGGAAAGGACUCUUGAUGUGUGGAAAGGCAAAAUUAAUGGAAGUUGGUAAUGUGAUGAGCUGAUCUAUGUUUACUUGAUAUUUAUAUGAGGUUAUGUGAUUAACUUGUUUGAUUAAGUGUUUGUGUUUAGGUAAACUCAAACAAAUUUUAUGGAAAGUAUGACUAUGUAUGCUUGUAGCGAUAAGUAUGAUUGGUAAGUUUAUUUUCUGUUAUACGAAUUACUAAACAUAAAAUGCUUACUCCAUUUAAUUUUCCCUAUUUUAUAGUGCUCAAAAGCUCGCGAAGGUUGGAAGUCAGUCGGAGCAAUCAUCACACUAUCCACAAUUACAUUUUGGUAUAAAUAGAAAUCUCAUUUUGGUAUAAUGACAUGUAUAAGUUUAUUUGGUCAUUGAUGGCAUGUAAUUGUUGUUUUGUAAUCUAGCCACUGGAGUGGCUAGAGAUGGUCUAAGUUUGGCUAUUUUUGAAGUGAUGUUUUAGUAAUCACAUAUGUGACAGCCCUAAAUUGACCCUAGUCGAAAAGUGGUUUCGGGACCACGAAACCGAGUCUUAUAAAUAAUUAAAGGUUAUAUUCUGUGUUUAUGAUGUGCGUAAAUGCUUGUGUGAUAGUUCCAUACUUUAAUUUGUCAGUGUAUGUGAAAUUUAUUAGUAGGGACUUAUGUGAGACAAUUUAGAAAUAUGCUAGGCAAGUGUUCAAGUGGCCUAUUAAUAUAUGUGGGAAAGUGCUUGUCCUUGCAUGUCAAAUUAGCCAAAUUAAAGCAUAGUGGCCGGCCAUGCUAUGGGUGGAAACAUGUCACAAACAUGUUAUGUUAGUGAUGUAUGUUAGGAAAAAUAAAAUAAGGAGCAUGGUAAUAAAAUAAUGAAAGGGAAUAUGAUGAAAAAAAAAGAAAGAAAGAAUGUGUGUGAUUGUUUUCCCCCCCUUUUGCCGUGAAUGGAAGAAAGAAAACAAAAAAAAGUGUUCAUCCUUGAACAUCUUUGGCCUAAUAGAAGAAAGAAAGGAAGAGAAUGAGCUUGGAGAAAAUCGACUAUGGAGGCUCACUAGAUUAAGGUAUGUUUAAUGUUGCUUUGAAAGUUCAUACAUCCCUUGGAUGAUUGGUCUAAAUUCUAACUAUCUCAUGGAUGGAUUUGGGAUUAUUAGAGAGUUAGUAUUCGACUAAGAGGCUUCAAAAGUUUUAGUUGAAGCCUUGAGACUAUUAGCAUGUUAGCUAUAUGGAUGUGUUAUGAUGCUUGAGGUGUUAGGUAAAUUUGAACUCAUCACCAAGUUUUUUAAGCAAUCCAAGCUAAAAGUUUCGGUAUUGAGGUAUCUUGAGCAUUCGGCCAUGGUAGGAAGUAGAGGGGAAAUAUGGUUGUUGUUGGAUGAAGUAGGGUCUAACAAAUGAGCACAUAUGUGCAUUAGAUGCUAGAUGGAGAAGAAUCGGCUAGCAAGUUGUGUGCUAAGGCCGAAUAUAAUUUUGUAUAUUAAUGAGUAAUGCACAUGUUGAAUUGAUGGAAAGGGAGAGGAUGCUUUAAUAGUGUAUAUAUGUGUAUUAGCCAAGUUUUGAACUUGAAACAAAAUGGGGUUUAGUCAAUACAAGUGACCAUACUUGUAGAAUGUAUUAAGUGUUGCAAUCGGCCUCAGCAUAGACAUGUAUGUUCGGCCACAUGAAUGAGUACAUAAGUUGAUGUGCAUGUUCGGCCAUAGGUAAGCAUAUUGAUGGCUUUACCUUGACUUAGAAAUUCUACUAAGGGGAAAUAUUAGCUAAUAUGUUGAAUUCGAUUCGUGAUUUCGUACAUAUGUGACUCUAAUGUCUGAUGUAUAUAUGGGCUAAGUACCUUGAGCUUCUCUUUUGAUGUUUGAAUGAAUUGUAUUAAAUUGCUUAAUGUGAUUAAAAAUGCGUAUGACCAUUUUGUAUUUGAGCUAAAGGUGGCCAUAUGACCCAUCAAAUUCAUUGUCAUGUUCGGCCAUAAGCUAGCAUAAUGAGACUUUAAUAAGUUAAAUUUGUUUGAAUUAGCUCAAGAGCUUAGAGGACCAAAGUUGGAUAAGGGAAAGGAAAAAGUGAUCGAAUAGCCGCCGAAAUCGUUCGACAACAUCCGAGGUAAGUUUUCGAGUAAUGGAGCUUAGAUUAUGAUUCGAUUAGAUUAUGUCUUGAGUAAAUCAAAAUCAUGCUCUUUGUAUGUGGCUAUUGAGCCAAAAUUUGUAAGUGUGAUAAGUGUUUUGUGUUUGAGCUUUGGUAAUGAAAAUGAAAUAUGGAUGUGUCAUGAUUAUUGAUAUAUGUGCAUGGUUAUUCGAACGAUAUCCGGGCUAAGUCCCGAAGGCUUUUGUGCUAGGUGACUAUAACCGGACUAAGAUCCGAAGGCAUUCGUGCAAGUUGCUAUAUCCGGGCUAAGACCCGAAGGCAUUUGUGCUAGCGAUUAUAUCCGGGCUAAAACCCGAAGGCAUUUGUGCUAGCGACUAUAUCCGGGCUAAGUCCCGAAGGCAUUUAUGCUAGUGACCACAUCCGGGCUAAGACCCGAAGGCCUUGCGCAAGUAGUUAUAUCCGGCUAAAUCCCGAAGAUUUCUUGACUUUGGGAAUGAGCGAUCUGCUGUAAUAAUUUCAAUUAAUACGCUCGUAAAAUCUAAACAACGAGGUAUUUGUUGUACAUGCAUUGGAUUAAUUGAUUCCUCUUAAAUAGCAUUCGCUCAGUCGAUUAAGGAGCUUCCGGUUUUUGGUUAAGUUGAUCCCCUAUGUAUGAAUAUAAGGGUUGGAAAUGUGGAGUAGGACUGAUUUUUGAGAAUAUAUGUGUAUAUGAAAUUAUCCGUUUAGUUAUAUGAAUGCUAUACUUCAGUUGAGCCUAAUUCCAUUGCUCAAAACUUACUAAGCAUUAAAUGCUUACUCCGUUUCUUUGAAUCUCUGUUUUAUAGAUUUUGGUUCGUCAGCUAUAGGACUCGGGAGUGUCAAAGUCGAAGUCGCCCACACUAUCAAAGCCCCUUUCGGUACACUUUUGGUUGAACUUUGAAAUGGCAUGUAUAGGACUACCCUUUUUGUUGUUGGUCAUGGACCCUUUGGUUUUGUAUAAAUUUGGAUAGCCAUGCGAAAAUGGCUUAUAUACACUUUGAGCUUAAUUUUAUAAUCGUCUUGUAUGAUGUUCAUUAAGAGGUAUGGAAAUGUUUGGGAACGAUUAGCCAUUGGAAUGGUUAAUCAUGAUCAUAUUUUAUGCUAUUUAUGCAAAAGGGCUAGUUGAAUCAUGGAAACUAUGUAAUAGGUAAAGUCUACCUUAAAAAUAGAUGCUGAUAGCAGCAGCAACGCGAAUGUGAAAAAUCACUAAAAAUAGUAGGAAUGGAAUUAAAUAGUGAAUAAAUUAUGUAAUCUAACCUUGAUGAAUCUAUUUUCAUAGGAAAGUAACGAAACGAUCAUAUGAACAAUAUGUUAAGAGAUAUUUAGGUUUUCGCAAAACAGGGCCAGAACGGUUUCUGGAUUCCCUGUUCCGACUUUGGAAAUUCAUUAUAAAUUAACCAGAGAUAAUUAGAAGUCAUGCCUUAUAUGUAUAGAUUCCUUUUUGAGUCUAGUUUCAUUAGAAACAAACGGCAUCAGUAUUGAAGCCCUGUACAGGGAGAUAUCCAAGUUAUAGUGUGUGGAGGUCAGAGUAGUCGAACCCUGAAACAGGGGAGACUUUAACUAAUAAACUGUACUAUUGACCCGACCAAAAAUUCUAGAAAAAAAUUUGUAGAUGGAUAUAUGAGUCUAGUUUCAGGGAAAAAUUGCGAAACUGAUUUUCGAGUUUUGGAACUCAAGAUAUGAUUUUUAAGGUGACAGUGACGCAGUUAGUCAGUUGUCUGGAAAUUUUCAAAAUGGACUGUGAGAAUAAGUGAAUUUAGUCUGUGAACCCCUCGUGUCUGACUCCGGUAACGGUCUCGGGUACGGGGUGUUACAACAUAAGUGCUUGUUAUGUGUUAGUUUGUUGGAAUUAUGUUAGCAUAUAAGUUUAUGAUAAGUGUAAGUUUAUAUCCAUUGAUACAUGAGAUAAUACUACAUGUUUGAUGACUAAUUUUAUGUGAAUAUGAUGUUGGAUUGGUGGAUAUAUGCUUGUGAGUUUUGGUGUAGGAAAAUGGUAAGUUUUGGGUGACAAAUGAGGCAAGGAAAUGGUUUUAUUUUUGUCCAUACGGGUAGACACACGGGCGUGUGUCUUGGUCGUAUGUGACACAUAGCUUGCCCAUAGGCAUAUGGUCCGGUCGUGUGUCCUUUGCAUCUUAAAAAUGAGAAACAGAAUGUUUAGAGUUGGGCACACGGGAAGAGACACGGGCUUGUGUCUCAACCGUGUGGUUGACAUAGCCUUGGACACGAGCGUGUUACACGGCCGUGUGAAAACUGCACCUAAAUUUUGAAAAUAAAAUAUGUCACACGGCCUAGCUCACGGGCGUGUGACUUGGCAGUGUGAUUUUAAUUUCUUCAUGCCUUAUAAGUCAAAGAGUUACACAGGUUAGGGAGAUGGGUAUGUGUAGUCACACGGCCCGACUACACGGGCAUGUCUCUAGACCACACGGGUGUAUGAGUACUGUUCAUAAUAAUUUUUUUUUGAAAAUUCAUGAAUGAGAUUCCGAUUUAGUCCCGAUUUAUUCCUAUUGUUCGUUUUGGGCCUCAAGGGUCCAUUUAAGGGACGUUAUGAUUGAUACUAGAAAAUGUUUAGUAACUAGUAUAAAUUAUCUGUGAAUGUUCUGUAAACUCCGGUAAUACUCCAUAACCCUAUUCUAGCGACGGAUACGAGUUAGGGUGUUACAUGACCCCUACAGUAUUGAGAAUUUUUACUAUUUUUUUGAAAAUUUUAUGAGUUUUCGAUUUAGCCCCGACUUGUUUCUAAUGUGUUUUUAGGGCCUCAAGGGCUCAUAUAAGGGAUAAUAUGUAUGUUUUGAAUUAGUUUUAAUAUGAAUAUUGAUAUGAUUUGAAAUGUUUGAUAUUUGUGUUCGUUUGAAUUGAAAACUCCGGUAAUGCUCCGUAACCCUAGUUCGGCGACGGAUACCGGUUAGGAGUGUUACGUUUAUUUGUAUUAGAGUUGCAAUUUAGUCGAUUCUUGGACUAAACGUAGCGUGUAUGAGUCUAGCUAUACAUGCAAUUAUAUAACCUGUGAUAGUGUGAUAUCUCCUGACCGUUUUAAAAUAUGUUUUCUUAUAGCAAUGACAUCCAAUCGAGCUGACUCUGAUGAAGUUGAGAGUAACGCUCAAGCUUCCGUUCAUGGAGUGGCAUCGAGCGAUACAAGACCUAUACUUGAGGGUCGAGGAGAAAAGGCUAAGGAAAUUCUAAUUCUUAAUAAAACUUUUAUCUUUCUCUGCUCGUAUAAUCCUAAGUUAAACAAAAGAGUUUUAAAUACUCAAGUGUAACUUUUAGUUUAGUUAAAUUAAAGAGUUUUAAAUGUUUAUUUUAUUGUUUUUAUCUUAAAUUUGAAAGGAGUCCAACAACACCUUAUAAUAAUGAUAUUGUAGCUAAAAAAGAAUGAGUGUUGUAGGAUGAGACAAUUUCAAGGUCCCACUAACGCCACUUUGUUACAGCUAUAUCUCUAUUGAAUCGCAUUUUUUUUAUAUGUGGUGGCAGCUUAGAGUGCUUGACCGCGCCUCAAAUUCUUCCAAAAAAUAUAUAUAAUAAUAAUUAAAUACCAAAGCUCGCCUCACUGUAGCCCAAUUUUCUACUGUAAAAUUGUUUGUUGCGGCGGCCGCUCAUUUAGUAGUAAAAAUUUGGCCUUCGAAUUCCCUAUAGUUACCUGAGUUGCCACUGUGGUGGAUUUGUGGCGACGGUUAGAUGGAGGCUGGGGUAACGACGACGGCGACUACAACAGCGUCGUUCAGUUCGAUACUUGAUAAACCCCUCAGCCAACUAACCGAAGAAGACAUUUCUCAACUCACUCGCGAAGACUGUCGCAAAUUCCUCAAAGAAAAAGGUGCUUUUGAUUUUUUUUUUUUUGAUCUUCUUUUACUUCUGCUUUUGCCCUUUCUUGGUCUCCGUAUUUUCUUAACCGUAUCCAGAAUACUGGGAAACAUGGAGGGACAGCCAAAAAAAAAAAUUGUAAUAUGUAAACAUUGACACGUGACGUUACAGGAAUGCGUAGGCCGUCAUGGAACAAGUCGCAGGCGAUCCAGCAAGUGAUUUCGUUCAAGGCGUUGUUGGAAAGCAACGAAGAUUCCGGCGCCGGAGCUCGCCGGAAAAUCCUUGUUUGUCCACCACCAUCACAUUUUCCUCCGCAAAAUGCGGUGGCGCGUCUUAUAUCACUCUUAUUUCUUCUUAAGCCACUUUUCUGGGUUCUGUUUGCUUCAUUUUGUUAUUUGGAUAAAUGGAUAAUGAUCUUGGAAUGCUCUGUUUAGGUCGCUUCAAAUUCUGGUGAGUCAGUAAAAGAAGCAGUCUUUGGAGAAGAAGAAAGCCUGUACGGCCAAAAAGAUCUUUCUUUGAAAGCUGCCCCGGUCGUGCAGAUGAAUUGUCAGGGCGGUGACACGGAUGACAAGACUCUUUCGCCUAGGUUUAAUUUCAAUUUCCUAUUACUACGAAUUGUGGUUUUUAUCUAAUUCCUUUUGUUAUUGAUGGGCUUGGAUAUAUAAUCAAUUUAUUAAUUUAUAUCUUUUAAACAGUGAUGCAAUGCUAAUUGGGUUUUCAAAAGGAAUGAUAUUGAUGGACUCUCUCUAAUAUUUCUUUCAGUUUAGGAUAGUUCAUCUUUGAUGUGAAGCACUGUGCUAUUAUCUUUACCUUCCGUUGAUCUAUGGAAAUUGCAUUGACCUAUAGAAUGUUAAGUGGUGAGAGUUUGGCUUUGUACAUUGAGUGGAUAUUGCUCUAACGCGGAUAAUAUAGUCAAGGCAAACAGUUAACAACUUGCUUGUUUGAUAUAUAUGCAAAUAUAUUAUAUUUCUAUUUGUGAAUAGGUGUGCUAAUUGUGUUCAAUUUAGAUUUACAUUGAAAACUUAUAGUUGUAUACUCUUGUUUGUUUUCUUCAGUUUAGGCUCUCCACGGGAGUAUUCAAAAUUGCCUGGCAGAAGUCAAUAUGAAACAAAUGAGCUGGGUGGGCAAAUGACAAUUUUUUACUGUGGAAAGAUCAAUGUGUACGAUAGUGUACCACUUGCUAAGGUAAUGAAGCUUCCUCUUUCUGUGGAUAUAUACCUGGAGAACAAUAGUGGCAUGUUGGCCUUCUUCCAAUGUAUCCAAAUAUGGGUUUGCAGGCACGAGCAAUCAUGCACCUGGCAGCUUCUCCUAUUGAUUUUCCUCAGGGCAAUCUUUGUAAUCAAAAUGGUGCCUUUAGUUCCUUUCUGGGUCAUGUACAAGAAGCCGAAGCCAAAAAUGACCUUAUUUCAUCUAUUGCUUUGAGCUUGAAUUCUCAUACCAUGCACACUGGUUAGUGUCUUCAAAUGGAUAAAUGAAUUGCUCUAUUUGGCUAUUGCGAUUAUCAAACAUCUAUGCUGCAAUUGAACUGUAGCAGCAUUUAAGUUAAUGGAAAAGAGAACACAGACAUUGGUUGUUACUGAUGUUUGGACUGGAUUGCCAUUUCUUUUUGCACUUGAAACAUAUGUCUUUGUUAUCUUUAUAGAAGGAAACUAACGUUUCAUCUCUUUUUAAUAAUUUCCACUAGGCAUGCUUUUUGUAGGUUGUAUAACUUCCUUUCAAUCGUAUAUGUAUUAAGAGAUCAUAUAUGUAUUAAGAGCUAGAUGCUGUGUAUAAGUGUUUUAGAUAUACUAAACAGAAAAUAGACUAUUAGCAUGACAGUGGCACAUGAAUGCUGAGAUUUAGUUAAUUCCAGUAACAUUUCCUGGUUGACAGUUUUCCCUUCUUUAUUUUUCUUUUUUCUUUUUAAUCUUAUUGCUGAAUUUAGUAACUUGUUGACAAUUUAGUGGUUGUGAUUACAAUUUGCCUUCACAGAGAAGAUGACAGAAUAUCAGCAGCAGUUUAGUAGGGGAAAAACAAACAUUAGUCGUGAUUCUGGUAUGGUAUUUUCUUUUCAUCAUUUAUUGUUCUGAUUUAGUGUUCUAUAAUAUGCAAAUGCUUCAUAACUUUUGUUUCUUAGUGUAAAAAUUCUCUACAUAAAUAAUAGAAAUCGAGUUUUGAAUUUCAUUGGCAAUAUUUUGCAGCCAAAUGAUAGGGUCUAGACGAGCAGUCCAUUAUCAUGAUAUUAUAAUUAAUUCAAAUGUGGAGAGAUUGCCAAGGAGAUAAAACUCUAUGUUUUUAUCUACCAUAAACUUUACCUAUUGGCUGAGCUAUUAUAUACUUGGUUAUAGAUAAAACUUGAGAAGAAUGCACAUGUCCAAAGAUUUGCUACCAAGAUACAUAGAGACUGAUCCUAACUUAUAUGUCAUCAUUAAAAAGCUUAGUUCUGUUGUUCUAGAGUUUAGUUCCCACCUUUUUAUUUAUGCAACAUGUAAAAUAAAGUUCUUGAUCAUGUUAGUUUUUUUCACUGAAUAAACUCUAGAAAAGCAUAUCCAAAUGGCUCCUCGAAAAUGUCAGCGCCUUGGGGUCUUCAUGAUACUUUAUUGAUGAUUGGGCCAUUGAGAAAGUAAAAAUUAUUUUUUACUGCUUGAUAAUAUACCAUUAUUGGCUCUUUAUUUCCUGUUGUAACACUUGUUGCUCGGUCUAAAGAUGUAGAUGGACAGGUGAGCAGAAAAGUAUCAUUGCAGCGAUAUCUUGAAAAGCGAAAAGACAGGUAUCUAUACCAGCUAAGAUAUCGUUUGCUGAAUUUACUUGUAAUCUCAAUUUACAAACCAGCAGAGCUAUAUCAUUUUGCACAAUUUGGUAUCUGAAUAAAAAGAAAAAAAAUUACAAUUAAGUAUCCAAAAUUUACUUCCGUCACUUGCUAGUCUAUGACUAUAAAUGUUUUAAAGACAUGCUAGUUUUUUGAACAGUAUAAAAAUGCGAGACAUGGUAAUUUUAUUCGUUCAGCAUUUUUAAAAUAUUUUAUUUUAAAAAUGAUUUUUUUAUCUUAGUUUCACUCUUUUGAAUUAGAAAACAUAACAAAUUUAAUUUCUAUUUUGGAUUAAACUAUUUUAAUUCUUUGAAUUUUUGAAAAGAAAAUUAAAAGAGGAGAAUCAGGAAAAAAGGAGAGAGAGAGAGAGAGAAGGGGAGAGAAGGGGAAAGGGUGCUGGCCAGCCCAAGGUAUUCUUGCCCUCUAUCUUCCUCAUUUUUCUCUUCCGCUUUUCUUCCCCAGCCUGCCGCCAAUCUUGUUAUCUCGAAGCAGACCCAUGGCAGAUUGGUCCUUUCUCUCUUUUUUUCCCUAGAAUUUUUAUUGAUUUUAUAAUUCUAAGUUUUUAGCUUAUUAUUUUGAAAUUUGAAAAAUAGUUUGUUGACCUUGAAAUGCUGAUAUGGCAUUGAUUUUGGCAGACGACCUUCUAUUAUUAGACCUACGUUGGCAUUAUGUAAUGAUGUUAGCCACUUGAGUAACUUGACAGAGAUACACAUUUGGGUACUUAACUGAGAAUUUUUUUUCUUUAGGUCCCAAAUCACGAAAGGGGUAUACUUCAACCACCUAUUAAUGUAUUAACCCUUAGAAUAUAUUUCUGGAUUACAUGUAUUAACCCUUAGAAUAUAUUUUUGGAUUAUUCUUCUGUUAGGGGAAGAUUCUUUAAAGGCAGGAAAAAUGCAGGACAAACUUUGUCUAGCUCGGAGAUGUACCUGAACCAUCAGAUAAGAGCUAACUACUUAAAUGGACAAACAAAUCGGAGCAGAACAAGUUCUCCACCACAGUCUGGAAUGCCACAUGCAUUUUAUAGCUCAGCUGACAACCAAGAGCUUGUGAAUUUUUCUGUAGAUCUCAAUGAUGAAGGUAAGUUUUGAAGUAAUCUUUACAUUUUUGUAUGAUGUAAAGAUGCUACGUAGUUUGCAGUCACACCUAGUACUGCACUAUACUUGAUGUUUAAUCAUAUAAUCGUGUAAAUGUCUGGUUCUUGUAAAAAUUGUGGCUGAAGGAUGCCCAUAUUAACACACGCACACGCACACGCACACAGACAUAUAUGAUAUUGUAUAGUUGCUGUGGGGCAGUUUUGAUGAUCUUUUUUCAAACAAAAACAAAAAAGGUUUUGACUCUCUGUCUGGGCAAAUAGAUGAGCCACGUUUCUGAAGAAUAAUCCAAUAAUUUUGCAAGUGUUAAAAUUCUGUUAGAUUUUAAGUUACAACCGGCUAUACCAUAGUUUAUUUUGGGGUUCUAUUUGGGGUAUGUCUCUAACAUAUUUCUUUGAUUUGGAUAAUGUUUAUAUCUUCUAAUUGCUCAUUAAUUAUUCACAUAGUUACUCUCCAGUUAGCCUUUAGAGUAUGGGCGGAAGAAUCUUACUGUGGUAUGAUUUCCAUGCAGGUGGUCAAGAACAUUGAAAUUCAGUCUUUUAUGCAUCAAAAGUACAUUCAUUGGGAUUUGAGUGAAGAGAUGCGUUCUUUAGGUGCAUUACCCACAGCGGACGUAGGAGAGGAAUAAGUAACUGGAGAGGGCCUUUGACAUGCCUGCAUAUGUAUAUAAAUAUAUAAAUAAUAUUUAUAUAUCAUGAUUUGGCUUGUAUGGGUCGAGUUCCUUACUCGGACAGACUCUUGUUUUGAGUGGUAUGAUGAAGUUGCACAAUUUUCUGAUCAAAUUUUGCAAAGCUGAGCGACCGUGUUCGGGAAUUUCUUGUUUCUGAUAUUAGGAUCUCUACGUCUUUGCUUUGAGGUAUAGGGAGCCAAAUGUAGCGGCAAGCAAUGCUUUCCUUUGCUUUAACCUUGAUAUGUAAAUUUUGUACUAAUUAUAGCUUAUUGGGGCGGGUGAACUAGCUCUUUUCCUAUCAAGGGGUUUAUAUGUAUCGUGUUUAUUACCUUCAAUUCACUUCUACUUGGCUAUGCCCAAAUGAUUCCUUGUAAAAACUUUUUUUUUUGAACUUCCCAAUUCAUUUUCUUUUUUAAACAAUAGCAUAAAUAUAAAUAAAAUAAAAACUAUUAAAUGUCUCAAAGUCUCAAACACUAAUACUACGGUAGUGUUAAUUAAUAACUAUAUAUGAAGGUUGAGCACAUGCGAUAUUUUGUGUUAUUCUUUUUGAGGGAUCUUGUGUUAAUUUUUGAAAGCUAUGUAUGAAGGUUGAUUCUUGAAUACUCAUACAGUAUGUUGUGUUAAUCUAUAGCUACUUAAGAUUUUGUUUUUCUGAAAGCUAUAUAUGAAGGUUGAAUCUUGAAUCCUGGGGAUUCGAUCGUUUAAUUGUUAAAUAUUUAUGUAUUUCCGUCUUACUUUGUUCAGUAGUGAAGGAGAAAAUGACUUCACGCUAAUGGCUUCAUGAAAAGUUGGCAUUAGGUAUGUAAGAAAUUAAUAGGGUAUAUUAGUUGCUCAACGUGUUAUUUGUCUACGUGUUAUUUGUCUAUUUGUCUGAGCUCUUUUUCUCGGGGUAUUGUGAUUAUGUUUGAUUUUAUAUGAAAACAUUGAUGGUGUGAUUGUUUCAUGAAAAAUGUUUAUUCAAUUUAAUAAUUUCAUGUUAUUCUCAUUUUGAAGAGCUUACUCCAACGAUUUUUAAUCACAUUUUCUUAUUGUACAAAUGACACUUUAAUGUCAAAAUUUUCUUCAUAUACUUUGUUAGAAUUAAAUGACCCGAAUCCUUAUUUAAAUAAAAUACAGUGAUAACAUAAAAUACAAGUAAAAUCCAUAUAGAACUACACUUCUUUUAUUUUAUUUUAGAAUUAAACCUUAUUAAACUCUAUCUAUUUUAUUUUGAUUAGAAUAAGGUGUUUCAAUCUUACUAGAAUAUGGCUUUACAAGCCUAUAAAUAGACAUAGUCUAUUCCUCUUGUAAUUAUUCGAAUUCUACAUAGUGAAUUUUCUUCUCCUCUGCCCGUGGUUUUUUUUCCCGAAAGGGUUUCCACGUAAAAUCUGUGUUAUUUUAUUUUAUUUUAUUUUCACAAAUUGGUAUCAGAGCUUCUGGGUAAUUCAUCUCGAUCACGGUAAUAGCGUAUUUGAAGUAUGAAAUUUCGCUGUUGGAUCGCAACACCAGAUUUGCGUUCUGGCAGAUUAAGAUGCAAGCAGUUCUUGUGCAGAUGGAUCUGGAGGAUACCCUGCUAGGGAUAGAUAAGAUGCCUUCGACAUUAACAGAUGAAGAGAAUAAGCGUAAGGAUCGAAAGGCAUUAACACAAUUACAUCUGCAUUUGUCCAACGAAAUUUUGCAGGAUGUGAUGAAGGAGAAUACCACCGCUGCAUUAUGGAAGAGGCUGGAACAAAUAUGUAUGCCAAAAACUCUAACAAGCAAGUUGCAUAUGAAGCAGCGUCUUUAUGCUCAUCGUUUGGAGGAAGGUGCAUCUGUACACGAACACUUAACAGUGUUUAAAGAAAUUCUCUUAAAUUUGGAGGCCAUGGAGGUUUAGUAUGAUAAGGAAGAUCUAGGGUUGAUUCUACUUUGUUCGUUGCCCCCAUCUUAUUCAACCUUUAGAGACACGAUUUUAUAUAGCCGCGAGUCUCUCACAGUUAAUGAGAUUUAUGAUUCUUUGACCUCGUAUGAUAAGAUGAAGCAUCUUAUGGUUAAACACGACUCUUAAGGAGAGGGUCUCAUUGUUUGUGGGAGACAAGAUCGGAAUGCUGAUGAUGAUUGUGGAAGGACAUAGGAACAGAAUCCUCGCGAUAAAUCUAAGGGUAGAUCGAAGUCUUCAAACAGAGGUAAAACUUGUAACUUCUGCAAGAAGAAAGGGCACAUUAAAUCUGAGAGCUAUAAGCUAUAGAACAAGAUUAAAAGAGAGGAUGCGAAUCAAAAGUGAAAACAACCAAAAAAUUUUGAUGAAGCUGAUUUUGUAGAAGACUACAGCGAUGGUGAUCUUCUAGUCGCUUCUGUCAACAAUUCUAAAGUGAGCGAGGAGUGGAUACUUGAUUCAGGCUACACCUUCCACAUGAGUCCAAAUCAGGAUUGGUUUACAACUUACGAAACAGUGUCUGAAGGUGUUGUUUUGAUAGGAAAUAAUGCUUCAUGUAAAAUCGUAGGUGUUGGACCAAUUAAAGUUAAGAUGUUUGAUAGAGUUGUCAGAGCACUUAGUGACGUAUGACAUGUUCCAGAAUUGAAGAGAAAUUUAAUUUCGUUGAGUACUCUUGAUUCAAAAGGGUACAGAUACACAACUAAAAAUGGAGUUUUAAAGAUUUCCAAAGGUUUCCUUAUUGUGAUGAAAGGACAGAGAAAGACUACCAAGUUAUAUAUUUUGCAGUGUUCUACUGUUACUGGUGAUGCAGCUAUCGCUUCCUCUUCCUUGUUAGAUGCUGAUAUUACUAAACUUUGGCAUAUGUGCCUCAGGCAUAUGAGUGAGAAUGGCAUGGUAAAAUUGAGCAAAAGAGGACUUUUUGAUAGGUAAGGAAUUUGCAAACUGAAGUUCUUUGAGCACUGUGUUUUUGGGAAGCAAAAGAGAGUUCGAUUCACCAGACGAAUCCAUAACAUGAAGGGAAUGUUAGAGUAUAUUCAUUCUGAUCUGUGGGGGCCAUCUAGAGUGCCUUCAAGAGGUGGAACUAAAUAUAUGCUAACUUUUAUUGAUGAUUUUUCUACACAAGUUUAGGCGUUCUUCCUUAAGAAAAAAAGUGAUGUGCUUUCUGCAUUUAAGUCUUGGAAAAUUAUGAUUGAAAAACAAAUGGGAAAACAAAUAAAAUACCUCUGUACAGAUAAUGGUUGUAACAUCCAAAAAUAGGGCCUAAAUAGAAUAGUGGUUGUGAAACCACGAAUUCGAGAUAGAAAAGUUUAUUCUGAUUAAUUUAUAUAAUUUACCUAGUGAUUAGAUGCAUGUGUUAGAGUAUCGAUGAAAAAAUUUAUAGAUAGCAUGCUUAAUUUACCUACUAGAGCUUAAUUGCAAAAGUUGAUAACUAUGAGUUUUAGAUGCUAAAGGAUUAAAUUGAAGAGUAUAAUUGAAGUAGAGGUCCCUAAAUGGUAAUUAGACCAUUAGGUUUUCAUGGAAAAAAAUGGACAUACAUAGAUAAAAAUAACUAAAGUUUUAAUGAAGGGUAUUUUAGUCAUUUGGUAAUUAAAAGAUUAAAAAAGGGAAAAAGAUGGCAAAUUGUGCCCAUCUUCUUCAUUAGGCUGAAAUUUCAAGGGUUUUUCAUAGCUAGGGUUUUUUCAAGCUUCCAAGCUUCAUAGUAAGUGAUUCCAAGCCCUGUUUUUAAUGUUUUUUACGUUUUUGAAGUCCCGGUAACUUAAUUUAGCUUAUUCUAGCAAUAAUUUAACCUAGGGUUCAUAUUUGGAAAAAUACCCAUAGGUGAAAUGUGUUUAUUUUGAUGUUUUAUGGUAGAAUAUGAAGCUUGAAAUUAUGUUAAACGACUUGAGCUAAGCGAUUUUAAGCGAAAACGAGUAAAACGACAUAAUCGGUAAAAAUACCUAAUGGUCAUAAGUACAUGUUAGAGUGGGAAUUUGAUGUUUUUGUAGGUAAAUAAAUGAUCAGCAUGUCAUAAAACAUAAGAAUUAGGGAUAAAGUUUCAUUUCCGAGCCUUAGGGAAAAAGUGUAAAUAUGCAAAAUUUUAGGGGUAAAAUUGUAAUUUUUCCAAAGUUAGAGUUAAGGACUGUUUUGAUAAAUGUGAAUAUUAAAUAAUUUAGAUCAAGAAGAAUGAAAUUCGAGGUUAGACAGAGGAAGGAAAAAUGUUGAGGACUAAAUCAAAAUAUUUGAUCGUAUUUUGUAUCGAGGUAAGUUUGCGAUAAAUAAAUGCAGUGUUUUAUUAUUUAUAAUUAUUGAUGUUAUUUUUCAACAUUUAUAUAUCUAUUUUUUAAAUUUAUUCCAUGAUGAUUCAAGUAAGAAUUGACAGAGAAAUGAUACUUAAAAGUUUCGGUUGAAGCUUAGGAAUGUGUAGGAUACAAAUGUUAUGACAUUAGGGUUUAAGGAUACAAAGUAAGACCAUGCCAAUGCAUGGCAUUGGUAAGUUUUACAAGGCAAGGAAAUCAUGUAAGACCAUGUCACGACAUGGCAUUGAUAAACUAUUAUAAGGCAAACAUCCCAUGUAAGACCAUGCCAAGGCAUGACAAUGGUGAGUUCAUAAGGCAAGGAUACCACGUAAGACCAUGUCAAGACAUGGCAAUGGUAAGUUUAAAAAGGAAAGGUACCCGUGUAUCCUUAGUAUUUCAAAUGGUUCAAAGAAAGAUUUAAAGAGUGUACCAAAGGGACGGUAAGAUAAGUCCAUGUUUGAAAGGUUCAGGUUAUCUUGAUAAUUCAUUUAGAAUGUUGUUAUUUAUUUACAUGCAAACUUACUAAGCUUUAUGCUUACUCCCUUUCUUUUCUAUCCUUUUUAUAGUAUCGCAAAGCCAACUUGGAAAAUCUUAAGGACGUUGGAGAUCGCCUCACACUAUCAACGAGCUAUCUCGGUAUUUUGUGACUAGAAAUACUUUAAGUUAUGGCAUGUAUAGGGACUUGGCUAUUCUGUGUGUAUGUCCUUAUGAUAUGAUUAAAGAAUGGCAUGUGAAUACUUGGUAAUGAUUAGCUUAUGAUAUAGCUAAAUAAGAACAUGUUUUGGUAUUAUGUAUGCCUAAAUGAGGUUUGAUGCAAAGAAAUUAUGAAGGAGUAAGAGUUGGCCAUGGAACAGUUAGGAAACAACAAUAGCGAUGUGGAUUUGAAAAAUCACUAAAAAAUGUAGAAAUGGAAUUAAAUGGGGAAUGAGAUAUGGAAUUAAAUAUUAUUGAGUCUAUUUUCUUAAAAAAGAAAAAGAGCAAGCAAAGGAAGUCUAUAUUAUGAGAUAUUUAAAUUUUUAUAAGACUGGUUCAGAGUGACUUUGUGAUCCCCUAUUCCAACUUUAUAAAAUCACUAGAAAUUGUACAAAAAGAAUUAUAAGUCAUAGUUUAUAUUUCUAGAUUACUUAGUGAGUCUAUUUGCAUUAUAAAUAAACAGAAACAUUAUAUAAAUUUUUUAUAAUGAGAUAAUUAAUUUUUAGUGAAGAGAGGUCAGGUCUGCUGAACUGCAAAAUAGGGGAACCUUUAAUAAAUAAAAUGUACAAAUUGGCCAAACUAAAAAUUCUGGAAAAAUUAUGGUAAGAGGAUAUAUGAGUCUGGUUUCAGGGAAAGUUUACGGAUUUAAAUAUUGUGUUUUUUAACUUGAAUUAUAAUUAAUUUAGUGACUAUUACGCAGAUAGAUAGCUUUAUUAUAAAUAGUGAAAGAAAUUGUUUUGAUUUAUGUAAGUAAUUGGAAAAUUUUUUAAUGUUCCAGGUUUGGUCCCGAACCGUACCAAUUGCAUGUUUUAGGGUCUCGAAGGCCCUUUUUAGGGAUUUAUUGGAUGAAUGCGAGCGAAUAAAUUUUUAAAAAAAUUUAUGCCCUGAACAAGUAAGAUAAGUCUGGUAACGCCUCAUGCUCGACUCCGGUGACGGUCUCGGGUAUAGGGUGUUACAUUUAUUGGUAUCAGAGCAAGAGUUUAGUCGGUUCUUGGAAUAUUCAAUACGAGUAAGAGUCUAGCUAUACAUGCCAUACUUAUAUUUUGAUAGUGUGACGACUCCCGACCAUUUUAAAAUUUUUUUCUUUUAUAGUUAUGGAUCCCGAACGAGUUGGUGCAAAUGAUGUAGAAAGUAACGCGCCCGCUCCCACAAAAGGGACAGUGCCACCAGAUAGUAGUGAAAGGUCCGUUAUAGCUAGUCAGAGAGGAGGGGCUCGAGAAGCCUUCUUCCAAGCUAUGAAUGAAUGGUUUGUUGAGUUCGUUCGUACGAAUCUGGCCGUUAGAACUCCACCCCCUCAUGACCCUCAGACUACCCAUGUAGCUUACCCAGUCACAGAUACAGUUAGAAGAGAGAAGCCACUAGUUGAUAAAAGUAGGAAACAAGGGGCCAAAGAGUUUCGGGCUACUAAAGAUGACGAUACAGAGAAAACUGAAUUUUGGCUCGAGAAUACUAUCAGGGUCUUUGAUGAGUUAUCCUGCACACUUGAAGAGUGCAUGAAGUGUGUUGUAUCACUUUUAAGAGACUCGACCUACCAUUGGUGGAAGAUACUUGUGUCAGUAGUACCAAAAGAGAGGGUUACUUGGGAUUUCUUUCAGGAGGAGUUCCGUAAGAAAUACAUUAGUCAGAGGUUCAUCGACCAGAAAAGAAAAGAAUUCCUUGAACUAAAGCAGGGUAAGAUGACAGUGACAAAAUAUGAACGUGAAUUUGUCAAAUUUAACAAUUAUGCUCGAGAGUGUGUGUCUACUGAAGCUAUUAUGUGCAAGAGAUUUGAAGAUGGGCUCAAUGAUGAUAUUUGACUAUCAGUCAGUGUUUUAAAAAUAAAAGAGUUUGUUAUUUUAGUUGAAAGAGCUUGUAAGGCAGAGGAGGUGCUGAAAGGAAAGGGCAAAGCUGAAAUUGAAAUGCAAGACACGAAGAAAAGAUAGAUGAGCAAGUCGUUUUAGUCUACAUCCAAGAGGCCUAGAGAGUUCUCUACGAGAUCUAAUUUUUUAGCAAGGUAUUCUAGCCGAAAUAGAGGUAGAAGAUUUAUGGGUUAGAAAGCUCAGACCACUUCAAUUGUGAGUGUUGGUAGUAUUCAACCUGAUAGACCCGAGUGUCCUCAAUAUGGUCGACGUCAUCCAAGUCAAUGUUGAGCAACUGAGAUUGGUUGUUUCUGAUAUGGUGCAUCGGAUCAUUUCAUUCGGGAGUGUCCUGAGAUGGUUAAAAGAGAAGUAAUACCGAGUGUAAGAUCAGACAAUACCUCCGUUAGAGGCAGACCUCAGAGAAGUUCGGGAAUAGGGGCAGGUAGAGGUGCAUCUAGAGAUUCAGCAACGAGACCAGAUGUUUGAACACCUGCAAGGACCUAUGCUAUCCGUGCUCGUGAAGAGGCAUCCUCCCCCGAUGUAAUUACGGGUACAUUUUCUCUUCAUGAUGUUAAUGUUAUUGCUUUGAUUGAUCCGGGUUCGACCCAUUCCUAUGUUUGCAUGAAAAUUGAUGCCUAGUAUGAAUAUGUCCAUAGACUCUACGGGAUUUGUGAUUAAAGUAUCGAAUCCAUUGGGUCAGUAUGUAUUAAUAGACAAAGUAUGUAAAAAUUUCCCUUUGAUGAUUAGAGGUUACUGUUUUCAAGCUGAUCUCAUGCUAUUGCCAUUUGAUGAGUUUAAUGUGAUUCUUGGUAUGGAUUGGUUGACUGUGCAUGAUGUGAUAGUGAAUUGUGGAAAGAAAUUCAUUGAGUUGAAAUGCGAAAAUAGUGAAAUUCUUCGGGUUAAUUCAAAUGAGUCAGAUAGUUCAAUUGCCAUGAUUUCUAUUAUGUCUGCUUAGAAAUGCUUGAGAAAAGGAUAUGAAACUUAUCUUGCUUUUGUGUUGAAUACUAAAGAUCUAGAGUUGAAAAUUGAAUCAGUGCCUAUGGUAUGUGAGUUUUCUGAUGUGUUUCCGGAAGAACUACCAGGUUUGCCUCCUAUCAGAGAAGUUGAGUUUGGUAUUGAAUUGGUUUCGGGUACAACACCCAUUUCUGUUGCUCCUUAUAGAAUGGCUCCAAUGGAAUUGAGAGAAUUGAAAGUUCAGUUGCAGGAACUAAUAGAGAAAGGCUUUCCAAGACGUAGUUGUUCACCAUGAGGUGCACCAAUGCUCUUUGUGAAAAAGAAAGAUGGUUCGAUGAGAUUGUGCAUAGAUUAUCGGUAGCUUAACAAGAUGACUAUUAAGAACAAGUAUCCACUGCCUAUAAUUGAUGAUUUUUUUGAUCAAUUUAAGGGAUCUACUAUGUUCUCCAAGAUAGAUUUGAGAUCCAGAUAUUAUUAGUUGCGAGUUAAAGAGUCAGAUGUUCCUAAAACUACUUUCCGAACUAGGUAUGGCCAUUAUGAGUUCCUUGUGAUGCCAUUUGGCUUGACUAAUACUCCUGCCAUUUUCAUGGACUUAAUGAAUUAGAUUUCCAGACCUUACUUGGAUAAAUUUGUAGUUGUGUUUAUUGAUGAUAUCUUGAUUUAUUCUCAUGAUAAGAUUGAGCAUCCAGAGCAUUUGAGAACAGUUUUACAGACUUUGAGAGAUAAUCAACUUUAUGCCAAGUUUAGCAAAAGUGAGUUCUAGUUACGGGAAGUUGGUUUUCUUGGACAUAUAGUCUCAGGUAAAGGUAUUAGAGUUGAUCCGAGCAAGAUUUCAGCUAUUGUUGAUUGGAAGCCUCCCAGGAAUGUAUUAGAGCUCAGAAGUAUUCUUGGUCCCGCAGGUUAUUAUAGAUGAAUGUAGAGGGAAUUUCCAUGAUAGAUACUCCAUUGACAAGAUUGCUACAGAAAGAUGGCAAGUUUGAAUGGACUAAAAAGUGUCAGCCGAGUUUUGACAAGUUAAAGGCAUUGUUGAUUGAAGCUCCUGUCUUAGUACAAUUAGAACUGAGUAAAGAGUUUGUGAUUUACAGUGAUGCUUCCUUGAAUGGACUAGGCUGUGUACUUAUACAGGAAGGAAAGGUAAUUGCUUAUGCCUCUAGACAGCUAAAGCCACAUGAGAAAAAUUAUCUGAUACAUGAUUUAGAACUAGUUGCCAUUGUAUUUGCGUUGAAAAUCUGGAGACAUCACUUGUAUGGGGAGAAGUGACAAAUAUUUACUGAUCAUAAAAGUUUGAAAUACUUGAUGACUUAAAAUGAUUUGAACUUGAGGCAAAAAAGAUGGCUAGAGUUGACUAAUGAUUAUGAACUAGCGAUCGAUUAUCACCCGGGUAAGGCAAAUUUAGUUGCUGAUGCUUUGAGAAGAAAAUCUUUAUUUGCAUUAAGAGCUUUGAACACUAGUUUAACCUUAUCGGAUGAUGGUUCUAUCUCAGCCGAAUUAAGAGCUAAGCUAAUGUUUGUUGAAGAGAUUUUUGAAGUUCAGAAAGAUGACAGUGUGUUGCAAGCCAAAAGAGCUCAGUGUGAGUUGGGUAUAGAGUCAGAUUUUCAGAUCAGUUCUGAUGGUUGUUUAAUGUUCAGAAAUCAGAUAUGUAUACCAAAGAAUGAUGAGCUAAUUCAAAAGAUUUUAGAGGAAGCACGUAGCAAUUCCUUGUCUAUUCAUCCAGGUAGUACAAAGAUGUAUAAUGAUUUGAAGAAAUAUCUCAGAGUUUGUUUCUAGAUGCUUGAUCUGUCAGUAGGUAAAAGUCGAACAUCAGGUACCUUCAGGUUUAUUGUAGCCUGUGUUAGUUCCAGAGUGGAAAUGAGAUUGAGUUUCCAUGGAUUUUGUAACAGGAUUGUCGUUGACACCGAGAAAGAAAGAUGUAGCAUGGGUUGUGAUUGAUAAGCUAACAAAUUCACUUAUUUUAUUCCAGUUUGUAUGGAUUAUUCACUUGACAAGUUGGCUGAGUUGUAUAUUUUAGAGGUAGUUAGACUACAUGGAGUACCAUUAUCGAUUAUUUCAGAUAGAGACCCGAGAUUCACUUUGCGAUUUUGGAAGAAGUUACAGGAAGCUUUAGGCACAAAGUUGAGUUUUAGUACAGCUUUCCAUCCUCAGACCGAUGGUCAGUCAGAGAGAGUUAUUCAGAUACUUGAGGAUAUGCUCAGAUGUUGUGUCUUAGAAUUUUAAGGUAGUUGGGAGAAAUAUUUACUGUUGGUAGAGUUUGCUUAUAAUAAUAGUUACCAGUCGAGUUUGAAAAUGGCACCUUAUGAAGCUUUGUAUGGACGUAAAUGUCGUACACCUUUGUAUUGGACAGAGCUUAAAGAAAAUCAGAUUUACGGGGUUGAUUUAGUUAAAGAAACUGAAGAGAAAGUGAAAGUUAUCAGAGAUUGCUCGAAAGCAGCUUCAAAUAGACAGAAGUCUUAUGCAGACUUGAAAAGAAAAGAGAUUGAGUAUCAAGUUGGUGACAAAGUUUUCUUGAAAGUAUCCCCGUGGAAGAAAGUCUUUAGAUUUGGCAAGAAAGGCAAACUAAGUCCACGUUUUAUUGGACCGUUUGAGGUGACUGAAAGAGUUGGACCAUUAGCAUAUCAGUUAGCUUUGCCGCCAGAGUUAGAGAAGAUUCAUGAUGUGUUCCAUGUGUCCAUUUUAAUUCAUUACCAUUCUAAUCCUUCACAUGUGAUUUCACAGACAGAGGUUGAGAUUCAGCAAGAUAUGAAUUAUGGUGAAGAACCGGUAAAAAUUUUAGCUGAGAGGUCAAGCAACUAAGGAACAAAAGUAUUGCACUUGUGAAAGUAUUAUGGAAUAGGCAUGGGGUAGAUGAGGCUACAUGAGAGCUUGAAGAGGUUAUGCAAAAAUAGUAUCCAAAUCUUUUCACAGGUAAGAUUUUCAAGGACGAAAAUCCCUAAAGAGGGGAGAAAUGUAACAUCUUAAAAUAGGGCCUAAAAGGAAUAGUGGUUACAAAACCACGAAUUUGAGAUAGAAAAGUUCAUUCUGAUUAACUUUUAUAAUUUAUCGAGUGAUUAGAUGCAUGUGUUAGAGUAUCGAUGAAAAAUUUUAUAGAUAGCAUGCUUAAUUUACCUACUAAGGCUUAAUUGAAAAAGUUGAUAAAUAUGAGUUUUAGAUGCUAAAGUAUUAAAUUGAAGAGUGUAAUUGAAGUAGAGGUCCUUAAAUGGCAAUUAGACCAUUAGGUUUUCAUGGACAAAAAUGGACAUACAUAGAUAAAAAUAACUAAAGUUUUAAUGAAGGGUAUUUUAGUCAUUUGGUAAUUAAAAGAUUAAAAAAGGGGAAAAGAUGGAAAAAUGUGCCCAUCUUCUUCAUUAGGCCGAAAUUUCAAGGGUUCUUCAUAGCUAGGGUUUUGUCAAGCUUCCAAGCUUCAUAGUAAGUGAUUCCAAGCACCGUUUUUAAUGUUCUUUACGUUUUUGAAGUCCCGGUAACUUAAUUUAUCUUAUUCUAGCAAUAAUUUAAUCUAGGCUUCAUAUUUGGAAAAAUACCCAUAGGUGAAAUGUGUAAUAUGAAGCUUGAAAUUAUGUUAAACGACUUGAGCUAAGCGAUUUUAAGCGAAAACGAGUAAAACGAUAUAAUCGGUAAAAAUACCUAAUAGUCAUAAGUACAUGUUAGAGUGGGAAUUUGAUGUUGCUGUAGGUAAAUAAAUGAUCAGCGUGUCAUAAAACAUAAGAAUUAGGGAUAAAGUUUCAUUUCCGAGCCUUGGGGCAAAAGUGUAAAUAUGUGAAAGUUUAGGGGCAAAAUCAUAAUUUUGCCAAAGUUAGAGUUAAGGACUGUUUUGAUAAAUGUGAAUAUUAAAUAAGUUAAAUUUGCUAUUAUAGAUCAAGAAGAAUGAAAUUCUGAGUUAGACCGAGGAAAGAAAAAGACUGAGGACUAAAUCAAAAUAUUUGAUCGUAUUUUGUAUCGAGGUAAGUUUGCGAUAAAUAAAUACAGUUUUUAUUAUUUAUAAUUAAUGAUGUUAUUUUUCAACAUCUAUAUAUUUAUUUUGUAAAUUUAUUCCUUGAUGAUUCAAGUAAGAAUUGAUGGAGAAAUGAUACUUAAAAUUCCGGUUGAACCUUAGGAAUGUGUAGGAGACAAAUGUCAUGACAUUAGGGUUUAAGGAUACCAAGUAAGUCCAUGCCAAGGCAUGGCAUUGGUAAGUUUUACAAGGCAAGGAAAUCAUGUAAGACCAUGUCAAGACAUGGCAUUGAUAAACUACUAUAAGGCAAAUAUCCCAUGUAAGACCAUGCCAAGGCAUGGCAAUGGUAAGUUCAUAAGGCAAGGACACCACGUAAGACCAUGUCAAGACAUGGCAAUGGUAAGUUUAAAAGGAAAGGAACCCAUGUAUCCUUAGUAUUCCAAAUGGUUCAAAAAAAAAUUUAAAGAGUGUACCAAAGGGAAUGUAAGAUAAGUCCAUGUUCGAAAGGUUCAGUUUAUCUUAAUAUUUCAUUUAGAAUGUUGUUAUUUAUUUACAAGCAAACUUACAAAGCUUUAUGCUUACUUUCUUUCUUUUCUCUCCUUUUUAUAGUAUGUAACACCCCUUACCCAUAUCCAAGGCCGGAAUAGAGUACGAGGCAUUACUGGACUUAACAAUAUACAGAGACAAAAACCGGGCCAUAAAAUUUCAUUUAAUUAAAAACUUUUGGAACACAUGCAUAACAAACAAAGCUAACUAUAUCAUCACAUCAAAACAUAGGACAUGGCACGAUUAAUUAAACUUAUAAACCAUAAUGUAUAAGGACCACAUCUCAUGAUUUUAUACGAUAACUCAAUGCAGACUGAUACGUAUGGUCAAAAUCAUAAUAAAAAUACAUAUCACAAACCAACUUCCUAUACAUGCCACUCACUUGAUAUUUCUAAAAUUUGAAUUAAUUUUCCCAAAAAUGAUAAUUUGAUAGUGUGAUUUUGCCUCCGACGAUCUCCAACCCCGAGCCGACCUGCAAAUACUAAAGAAAUGGAGAGGAUGGGUAAGCUUUACGCUUAGUAAGUUCAUAUGAAAAUAAUAAGCAAUUACUACUAUGCUUUUCAAGAUAAAACACUAUAAUUGUACAAUUACACAUAUUCAGGACAGGCUAUUUUCUGGAGUCCCGGUGUUAAAAAAAAUCAUAUCUCAAGUUACAAAACUCAAAAUCCAAUUCUGUAAUUUUUUUAUGAAACUAGACUCAUAUGUAUACUUACUAAUUUUUUUUUCAAGAAUUUUUGGUUGGGCCAUUUAGUACAGUUUAUUAGUUAAAGUCUCCCCUAUUUUAGGGUAUGAUUACUCUGACCCCUGUGCACUACGAACCAAAUUUCUCCCUGUACAGAAUUCCAACGACCAUGUUGUUUGUUUCCCUUAAAAUUAGAUUCAAUAAGGAAUCCAUGCAUGUAUGGUAUGGCUCUCAAUAAUUUUUGAACAAUUUAUGGUGAAUUUUCAAAGUCAUGCACUGCUGCUGUCUAAUACCAUUUUACUACUAGAGUUCACUUUUACACAAUUUCACUUAAUCCAUUCCAUUUUACCGAGGUUCGCUAAAAUAUUGAGCAUAUUGCUCAUAAAUUCAAAUAAACAUAUACUUGCACUUGUUCAUCACAUAAUCACUUUCACAUGUAUUUUAAUUUAAUCGAUUUCCCGUUGAACUCAUAGGAAUAAUAACAGAUACAUAAUUGCCUACACAUUUUCCCAUUUCCACACUUGUAGCCGAAGCUAUCUGGUACGCAUAGCAACCUGCACUUAGUACUACAUAUGCGACCAACAGUCUGGUACACGUAGUAGCCUGCACUUAGUACUACACGCGUGACCUCACCAUCUAAUACACGUAGUAGCCUGCACCUAGUAAUACACACGUGAUCACAGUUUUCGGGUACGCAUAGUAGCCUGCACUUAGUACUACACAUGCGACCUCACAAUAGAUCAUUCGUAUCGUUUUUAUUCUGAAGGCUCAAUCGGGAAAUUCCUCACUUUUCAACAUUUUACUAAAUUGUCCGUAAUUAAUUUAAAUUCAUAAUUUACAUCAAAUAACCAUUUGAUAGGUAGCCACAUUUCAUAUGAUAUCAAAAUAUAAUAACAUAAAAAGAAUCGAUAGAUUAUUUAUGUACGAAUUUACUCGAAGUGUCGAUCUCACUACCCAUAGUACCAAUUGUACAUUCAUAGUAUAAUAAGACACAACUCAAAUAUCAAAUCAGCUUUUAAGAAUUUACAUAACAUAUAUCACAUAUUUCACAUAUCACUUGUCAUGUAUCUUCAUUUUCUUGCAUUGCAUGUAACAUUCUUUCAUGUCAUAUUUCCACAUCAUAAACACCAUUCCAUCAACUUUUCCAAUAUAUUAAAUCAUAAAAUAUAUGCAAUAAUAGUAAGAAAUAUAAUUCAAACAUAACAUUGCAUUAUUAUUAUCAUACGAACUUACCUCGAUCCUGAAACAGCAAUUUACCAUUUUAGUCCAUAACCUUGUAUUUUCCCGAUUUAAGCCCGAAUCUCGAUUUCCUUCAUCUAUAAUAUCACAUUUAGCCUAAUAAUUAGUCACACUAUUCAUUCGAGUCCAAAAAUCAUAUUUUUAAAACUUUUCAUUUUGACCCCUAAACUUUUGCACAUUUGCACUUUUACCUCAAGGUUCGGAAAUUAAACUUCAUCCUAUUUUCUUAUGUUUUAUGAAAUGUUGAUCAUUUUUCCCUUCUAUGGAAACAUCAAAUUCUCACUCUAACAUGUACUUAUGACUAUUAGGUAUUUUUACCGAUUAAGCUGUUUUGCUCGUUUUCACUUAAAACUGAGUAGCACAAGUUGUCUAACAUAAUUUAAAACCUCAUAUUCUAUCAUAAAACACCAAAAUACACAAAUUUCACCUAUGGGUAUUUUUCCAAAUAUGAACCCUAGGUUGAAUUAUUGCUAGCAUAAGCUAAAUCAAGUUAUCGGGACUCUAAAAACGUAAAAAUCAUUAAAAACGAGGCUAGAACGGACUUACAAUCGAGCUUGGAAUCUUGGAAACCCUAGCCAUGGAGUAUCCCUUGGCAUACACAUCCAUGGUGAAGAAGAUGAGAGCAAAAUUGGCUUUUAAUUUUGUAUUUUAAUUCAUUUUACCCCUGAAUGACCAAAAUGCCCUUACUACUAAACUUUCCAAAAAUUCCAUUCAUGUCCAAUAUUUGUCCAUAAACUUUGAAAUUGGUCAAAUUGCUAUUUAAGACCUCCUAAUUAAUAUUUCAAAGAAAUUUCAUACUAAAAACUUCUAGAAUGCAAGUUUUGCAACUUAUUCAAUUAGUCCCUAACUUCAAAUUAAGCACUUUAUGCAUAGAAUUUCUUCACGAAAUUUUCACACAAUCAUGCAAUCAUAUCAUAGACCUCAAAAUAAUCAUAAAAUAAUUAUUUCUAUCUCGGAUUGGUGGUCACAAAACCACUAUUCUGAUUAGACCCUGAUUCGGGAUAUUACAAUUCUCCCCCCUUUUAGCGAUUUUCGUCCCCGAAAAUCUUACCAGAAAAGUGGUUUUCGCUUAGAUUCCUCAAUUUCAUAUUCAGUGUUGAAGAACUUUCACUUAGGCGGUGCCUCCUAUAUAUCUCUUUAAUUUCUCAUAUAUUUUGAAAUUCAUUAGCAGAAGUCGAUCCUCACUGUACUCUUUUAGUUUGCUACUCACUAUCACAUUUUCCUCUUUCCGCUACGGAAGUAAUUCUGAUAUAACCUCGAAAAUAAUCCUUUCUUCUAGUUACAAAACAAUUCAUCAUGCCAUCCUUUACUUACGUUAAUCAAAACCGUCUCAAUUGCAUUAGCUCAAGUACCAAAAUAUCUCAAUUGAAGACAUUAACUAUAAUUGACUUACUUGAGAGAAGUAAUCCACCAUACCGAUUGAAAAUCGCACUUUUAUCACUUAUACCUUUACUGUUGUCAAACCUUACACGAAAAUUAGAAAAAUCCCAAUACUGAAAUCACCACAUCACCCAAAUCAAAUCAGAAGUAUAGCCAUACUUGACAUGAUUAUCACGAGCUGAAGAAUGCACUCUGAACAUGAGUCAUAGUUGACAAAUUACGGAAUAAAGAUAACAAGAAAACCGAAUAAAGAAACCUAAGAUAGAAAAACCCAGAAUAAAGAAACCCAAGAUACGAUACUAUGCCGGAAAAUUGAAAACCAAACUCAUAGGAAAAUAUAGAAGAUCCCGAUAAUUCCUCAGAUAAAAGAAAUCCAGUAGAAAACCUCAUUUAGACUCACUGGAAUCAAAUGCAACAAGAACAAUGUAUCUUCCCAUAUAUAUACAGAUCAAAUGGAGCAUUAAGUAGAAGAAACAGAAUCAUAGUAUCAUACAUAUUCUCUCAUCAAUUUUUUUUUAUCAGGCAGAAUAUAAUAGAAUGCCCAAAGGAAUAGAGCAAUAUAAAUUAUAAACCAGUCAAGCUACCAAUGCUUUCAUUUAACAUCAGGAUUAGAAAACAUCCCCAUAUAACAAGAAUUUCUUUAAAAGAUCAAUAAUCAUAGAAAUAUUUUUGGGAACGGAUAAACACAUAGAACAUCUUAGACGAAACUGCUAAAAUCUGUCCAACCGUAACUGUCACAGUCAGAUAUUACACAUUUCAGAUAUCAUUUCCCCAACUAUUUCUGCCAUCACAAAUUUCAUAUUACUUUUCACUUAAGAAGACUAGUUCUGAAUAAAUUUUUAUUUGCACUUUUCUCGACCUUGUACCUUAGUAAUUCGAUUUAUCAAAAUAAAUUUCUUCUCUAACUGGAAUAGUGCAUAACUCCAAUAAUCCUUAUGCCAAUCUGAUACUUUUCUAGCUUUGACUUUACUUAUCAAUUCAUUCUUCAAUCUCUAAUUAUAUUUAUAAUUAUUCUAGCACUGAACUCUUUGGUUUCUCAACCGGAAACUUAUUCAAUAUAAAUCUCAUGAAAUUCCAUUAUAAAACACCACUUUGGUAAGGGGAAAGGGGUUGUAGGGCCACUGAUUCAACUCUUAUAUACAUAUACAUGUAACACAGUUUUCUUCAUAGCAAUCAUAUCUCAAUCAUGUUAUUCAUUUCGAGUAACUAACAUUCAUAUUGAUGUAAUGCUCACUUUCCAGUUAUCUGAUUUAGUCAAGUAUAAUUAUGCAUGCAUCCUAUGUUUUCUGGAUAGCUUGACUUAUCCAUUCAUCUACUCGAACAAAUCAUACUCAUGACAUCAUAUAAGGGUUAAACAAACAUAGAUAUUUAUAUCACAAUCACAACUUUCGUUUCGUGCAUCAUCAUAUACAUAUAAUUACAAUCACAUAAUUCAGUCCAAACAAUUUAACAUAGAUAAAUUCAUUUCAUUAUAGUCAUUUAUCUCAUAAAAAUAUCAUUGACAUUCAUCAACAUUCAACGUUCAAUCAAGGAAAUGACAUUUUCAUUCAUAUCAUGAUAUUAGGAACUUUUACUCAUACUUCUACGAAUUUCUGUUUAUCCCGUUCAUCUUAUCAAGUAAGCCAAGUGCACUACAUCAUAUGAGCAUUAAGCAAGUAUGAAUAUUUAUCACAACAUGACCUUUCAUCUCACGUGUUAUCACUUAUAUAUAUCAUAAACUUUUAUUCAUACUUUUCUAAAUUGAGACUCAUCAUAAUCGUAAUUUUAUUCAAACACCUUCGCAUCACAUUGAACAUGAGCAGUGCAGCUUGGUUGGAGAGUACCUCUGUCUAAGCAAGACGGUGCUCAUACGUGUCGGGAGACAUCACACUAUCACGGAUCAGUGGCAUGUAUAGCUGGACUUUUACACAUGCUAGGUUAGUCCGAGAACCGACUAAGCCAUAGCUCUAAUACCACUAAAUGUAACACCCCUUACCCGUAUCCAAGGCUGAAACAGAGUACGAGGUAUUACCAGACUUAACAAUACACAUAGACGAAAACAGGGCCAUAAAAUUUCAUUUAAUUCAAAACUUUUGGAACAUAUGCAUAAGAAACAAAGCUAACUAUAUCAUCACAUCAAAACAUAGGACAUGGCACGAUUAAUUAAACUUAUAAACCAUAAUGGAUAAGGACCAAAUCUCAUGAUUUUAAACGAUAACUCAAUGCAGACUAAUACGUAUGGUCAAAAUCAUAAUAAAAAUACAUAUCACAAACCAACUUCCUAUACAUGCCACUCACUUGAUAUUUCUAAUAUUUGAAUUAAUUUUCUCAAAAAUGAUAGUUUGAUAGUGUGAUUUUGCCUCCGACGAUCUCCAACCCCGAGCGACUUGCCAAUACUAAAGAAAUGGAGAGGAUGGGUAAGCUUUACGCUUAGUAAGUUCAUAUGAAAAUAAUAAGCAAUUAAUACCAUGCUUUUCAAGAUAAAACACUAUAAUUAUACAAUUACACAUAUUCAGGACAGGCUAUUUUCUAGAGUCCCGGUGUUAAAAAAAUCAUAUCUCAAGUUACAAAACUCGAAAUCCAAUUCCGUAAAUUUUCUAUGAAACUAGACUCAUAUGUCUACUUACUAAUUUUUUUCUAGAAUUUUUGGUCGGGCCAUUUAGUACAGUUUAUUAGUUAAAGUCUCCCCCUAUUUCAGGGUAUGACUACUCUGACCCCUGUGCACUACGAACCGAAUUUCUCCCUGUACAGAAUUCCAACGACCAUGCCGUUUGUUUCCCUUAAAAUUAUAUUCAAUAAGGAAUCCAUGCAUGUAUGGUAUGACUCUCAAUAAUUUUUGUACAAUUUAUGGUGAAUUUCAAAGUCAUGCACUGCUGCUGUCUAAUACCGUUUUACUACUAAAGUUCACUUUUACACAAUUUCACUUAAUCCAUUCCAUUUUACCGAGGUUCACUAAAAUAUUGAGCAUAUUGCUCAUAAAUUCAAAAAUAAACAUAUACUUGCACUUGUUCAUCACAUAAUCACUUUCACAUGUAUUUUCAUUUAAUCAAUUUCCCGUUGAACUCAUCGGAAUAAUAACAGAUACACAAUUGCCUGCACAUUUUCCCAUUUCCACACUUGUAGCCGAAGCUAUCUGGUACGCAUAGUAGCCUGCACUUAGUACUACACAUGCGACCAACAGUCUGGUACACGUAGUAGCCUGCACUUAGUACUACACACGUGACCUCACCAUCUAAUACACAUAGUAGCCUGCACUUAGUACUACACACGUGAUCACAGUUUUCGGGUACGCAUAGUAGCCUGCACUUAGUACUACACAUGCGACCUCACAAUAGAUCACUCGUAUCGUUUUUAUUCCGAAGGUUCAAUCGAGAAAUUCCUCACUUUUCAACAUUUUACUAAAUUGUCCGUAAUCAAUUUAAAUUCAUAAUUUACAUCAAAUAACCAUUUGAUAGGCAGCCACAUUUCAUAUGAUAUCAAAAUAUAAUAACAUAAAAAGAAUCGAUAGAUUAUUUAUGUACGAAUUUACUCGAAGUGUCGAUCUCACUAUCCAUAGUGCCAAUUUUCCAUUCAGUAUAAUAAGACACAAAUCAAAUAUCAAAUCAGCUUUUAAGAAUUUACAUAACAUAUAUCACAUAUUUCAUAUAUCACUUGUCAUGUAUCUUCAUUUUCUUGCAUUUCAUGUAACAUUCUUUCGUGUCAUAUUUCCACAUCAUAAACACCAUUCCAUCAACUUUUCCAAUAUAUUAAAUCAUAAAAUAUAUGAAGUAAUAGUAAGAAAUAUAAUUCAAACAUAACAUUGCAUUAUUAUUAUCAUACGAACUUACCUCGAUCCAGAAAUAGCAAUUUACCAUUUUAGUCCAUAACCUUGUAUUUUCCCGAUUUAAGCCCGAAUCUCGAUUUCCUUCAUCUAUAAUAUCACAUUUAGCCUAAUAAUUAGUCACAUUAUUCAUACGGGUCCAAAAAUCAUAUUUUUAAAAAUUUUUAUUUUGACCCCUAGACUUUUUCAUAUUUGCACUUUUGCCUCAAGGUUCGGAAAUGGGUGUUUAAAAGGUUGUUCGUUGUAAAUGGGUGUUUAAAAAGAAAGAAGGGACUUCAAGAGUUGAAGAACCCAGAUAUAAAGCAAGGCUUGUUGCAAAAGGGUUACAAUCAAAUUUCAGGAGUGGACUUCAUAGAUGUGUUCUCCCCUGUUGUGGAGCACAGUUCGAUUUGAGCUUUGCUUGGUAUUGUGGCCAUGCAUGAUUUGGAGCUUGAGCAGUUAGAUGUAAAAACUGCAUUUUUGUAUGGAUAACUUGAGAAAGACAUUUACAUGCAACAACCAGAGGGUUUUAUAGUCUCAGAAAAAGAGGACUAUGUUUGCUUGCUGUGAAAGUCUCUUUACGGUUUGAAAUAGUCACCAAGACAGUGGUACAAGAGGUUUGGUUCCUUUAUGAAUACUCAUGAUUUCCAAAGAAGUAGUUUUGACAGUUGUGUUUACUUUAAGAAAAAUAGUGAUGGUUUUUUCGUUUAUCUACUUCUUUAUGCUGAUGACAUGUUGAUAGCAGCAAAAGAUAAAGAAGAGAUAAGAAAGGUCAAAGCCCAACUAAGUAAAGAAUUUGAGAUGAAAGAUUUGGAACCAGCAAAGAAGAUACUUCGUAUGGAGAUUCUCAGAGAUAAAAAAGCAAGUAAAUUGUACCUAUGUUAAAAGGGGUCCAUUGAGAAAGUUCUUUGCAGGUUCAAUAUGCAGAGUGCUAAGCCUGUUAAUACUCCUUUAGCGGCCCAUUUCAGACUUUCAUCAGCUUUGUUUCCACAAUCAGAUGAUGAGAUUGAGUACAUGUCACAUGUUCCAUACUCUAAUGUAGUGGGAUCUCUCAUGUAUGCUAUGAUUUGUUCACGUCCAGAUUUAUCAUAUGUAGUCAGUGCAGUUAGCAGAUACAUGGCGAAUCCUGGUAAAGAACACUAGAAAGCAGUUCAAUGGAAUUUAAGAUACUUAGGAGGUACUACUGAUGUCUGCUUAUAGUUAGGAAGAACUAAAGAUAGUGUCAUUGGGUAUGUUGAAGCUGAUUUUGCUGGAGACCUUGAUAGAAAAAGAUCUCUCACAGGUUAUGUCUUUACAAUCGGAGGUUGUGCAAUCAGUUGGAAAGCCACUUUGCAAACUACAGUCACUUUGUCUACCACUGAAGCUGAGUACAUGGCAAUUACUGAGGCUUGUAAAGAAGCUAUUUGGUUGAAGGGACUCUUUAGUGAACUCAAUGAAGACCUUCAAAUCAGUACAGUAUUUUGUGAUAGUCAGAGUGCAAUCUUCCUUACAAAAAAUCAAAUGUUUCAUGAGAGAACAAAACACAUUGAUGUUCGGUAUCAUUUUGUUCGUGAUAUUAUUGCUCGUGGUGAUAUUUGUGAGCAAAAUUAGUACUCAUGAAAGUCCUGCAGAUAUGAUGACUAAGUCAUUUCCUAUAACCAAGUUUGAGCAUUGCUUAGACUUGGUUGGUGUUCAUUGUUGAAGUUAAACCUUUAAGGGGUUUUAUGGAAGAGGUGGAAAACUUUUUCAUUGAGAGUUCGCGAUGAAUAACUUGUUCAUUGAGAAUUUGUGUCAAGGUGGAGAUUGUUAGAAUUAAAUGACCCGAAUCCUUAUUUAAACAAAAUAGAGUGGUAAAAUAAAAUAAAAGUAAAAUCCAUAUGAAACUACACUUCUUUUAUUUUAUUUUAGAAUAAGGUUUUUUAAACCUUAUUAAACUUCAUCUAUUUUUUAUUGGUUAGAAUAAGGCGUUUCAAUCUUACUAGAAUAUGGCUAUACAAGCCUAUAAAUAGACAUAGUCUAUUCCUCUUGUAAUUAUUCAAAUUCGACAUAGUGAAUUUUCUUCUCUUCUGCCUGUGGCUUUUUUCCCGGAAGGGUUUCCACGUAAAAUCUGUGUGUUCUUUAUUUUAUUUUAUUUUCACAUACUUGUUGUUAUCAUAUUAUUAAGCACAAUACCUAUUUAUAACCAAAUAUAAAAAAUAUUUCACAUUUUUGUUGACUCAAUAUUUUUCUUUAAACAUUCUUUGUUUGUAACUAAUUUACUUCAACAUUCACUAUCUUUGUUACAACUUAAUAAUUUCUCUCACGUAUUCAGUUUUAGAGCCCUUGUUAAAGAUUUCACUUCAUAUCUUAGAUAGAUUAGUUCAUAUUUUCUAAACAUUUACGAGUUCGUAAACUGAAUUUAUUGUGGACUAAGUUCACUUCUUAUUCCCAACAUUCCAAUCUAACUUAAUAUAUCAAAUUUUAUUUUAUAGCCCUUUGUAGCUUUAGUAAGAAUGAUUCAAAUAUGAAAAACUUCAUUCAAACACACCAAGGUAAUGCACUUGAGGUGCCCCAGCCACACACAUCAAAGAUCUACAUAAAAAUUGCACUAUAAUUGCAUAUCCUCCAAACACACCAACAACACAAAUGUGCUAUGCCAUAAGGCAUCAAAACAUAACUCUACACACACAUACCCAUACAAGUUGCAUCUAAUUCCUAUGACAUGCUAAUCGUAUCUUAGCUAAUCUACCAAGCUCAUAAGAGAUUUCAUCUUAUUAAUCAAUUUGAUAUUUAAUAGUUCACAUAAUUACAUAUCAUAAAAUGUUAUCAUGGUUUCAAAAGGACACAACAAAUCUUAAAUUUUACACGCAUUACAUUUUGGUGCUUAUUGGCACCCAAUCAUCACCUAUACUCAUCCACAUGAUCACAUUGUCACUUAAGUGACCCAUAUCACCACACAAUGCUUCACAUGUUUACUUAUGUACUUACCAAAUCAAAUCAUUCCACAAAUGGCAUUAGUCAUUCUCUUUUCUUAAUUUACAUAAUUACUUAUUAGGUGACCAUGUCACCAUAUCACACACUUUUAUACAAUUUAUCAUUUGAUACUUCAAAUAUCAACAAAUUAAUUCACAAAUAAAUGCUUAUUAAGCGAUUCAAUUUUCAUAACACAUCACUACCCAUUUCCUUAAUUCUUUCUUUUCAAAAUAAGUCAUAUUUCAAAUUUCACGUCUACCUUAUUUUAAAAUGUCAUAUUAACACAUAUGUUCAUUUCCAAAAAAAAAAAAAAAGAACAUGCCAUAACACUUAAGUAUUCAAAUUCUAUUACAAAUUUUAUUGUCAUAUAUUCUAAGGAAAAUUUUAACUAAUAUUAUCAUUUUCUUCACAAUCAUCACAACACAUGAAAUCAUACUUACUCUUAUUCCAAUAUACAAUAAUUAUUUGGCCAUUUAUUAAACUAAUUACCAAUUUUCAUAAUCAUUUUAAUGAGGGAAGUUAGCAAAUCCAAGGGCACUUACCUCUUGGAUGAACUUAAACACAAAACUAAGCUUUCUAACACUUGAAUCCUCUUUUCCCUAGUAUGGAAGCUCACCUUCCAUCAUUUCUUAUUCUUUUUAUUAAAAGCUUUCUCUCCAUAACCCAAGUUUUUUGUCACUAGACCAUAUAAAACCUAAGCUUUUAUGGGGAGAUUGAUGAUGGAAGUAUGCUUAGAAGGUGAUUUCUCCUUGAUUUUGGUAAUAACUCAAAGUGGAUUGAAGAAAUUUGUGUUUAAUUUGAAGAAAAUGUGAGAAAAAUGGAAAGGAAAAACUCUUCCUUCAAGCUUAGGGAGGGUUUCCCUGAUAAUGGGAAGAAAAAUGGUGAAUUUUUCUCCUUUUUUUUAAUACAUUAAAACUUAUCAAGUUAAGGUCAAGUAAAAGUUCAACUUAAAACUCGUGGUCCACAUUAAAUCACCAUGCUUUCAUCACAUCCAAUGGCUCAAAAUUAAUCUAGAAAAAUAUAAUAUCUCUUCAAAUAAUAUUUUAAUAUAAAUUUUACAUAAAAUGACCAAAAGCCCAUAUAAGGAAAAUUUGUACUUCAGUUACUUUUUACCCAUUUAUCACACUUCACAUUAGACUUAACACUUAACAUAUUCAAAAUUUAUAAAUCAUACUUAUACUCUAAUAUUAAUUCAAAAAUGAUAAGAAUUACACUUUUCCCCCUUUUAUAGUAAAAAUGGUAAAAUUGUCAUUUGGUUCCUAUACUUUUCACUCUUAUUCAAUUUAGUCCAACAAUGGUUUUCAUCAUACUAAUACAGAUUUCAUUUCAUUCUCAUACCAAAUAAUCAUUAUUAACUCACAUUUUCUCUACCAGGUCAAAUUGCACUUUAGUCAUACUUUUUUAAAAUUUGUGAUUUGGUCAUUUUCCAACUUUUCACAUUCACAAUUGUGGCAUUGAUUUCCAUCUUCAAUGUCAAAUUUGUAACACCCCAAACCCGGCCUAGACGUUAUGGCCAAAUCUGUGAUGUCACAUUGGAGUGAUUUUUGAAAAGCGUAGUUUUAGUAGAAAAUUCCAUUUGUGUUAAAAUCUCAUUUGUGUUCUUUAAGAGAAGUUAACUUAUUUGUUCAUUUGUUAAUUUAUAGGUUUGAUUAUCAAAGCAUGAAUCACACUAAAUCGUUGUUACGCUUUGAAAACAUUGUUUGUUGCAGAAGCUUUUAAAACAAGUUGUGUAGCUUGGUAGUUGAAAAGCAUUUACUUUUUGGAAAACCCGUAUCUUACUGCUAAUAGUUAUAAGUCAAUUUAAAUAAGUUCCCAAAUGAAAAUAAAACUUAAAACAGCCUUAUUACAUAAAAUUUAUCCAAGUAAAACUACUUUUACCAAAAAUCCAAAACGAAACAUAAAUAGUGGUUUGGCCAUCUCCAAGUCCCUCGUAGCACCGACCCGCCUUAGGAUUACUUGCAUAGAUAGGCAGAAAAGGUGAGUUUAUGAAAACUCAGUGUGUAAACCAAAUUUAUCAAACAGUCAAACAUACAGUGCUGAACAGUCUGGGCUUAAGCCCAUAUUGAUAGCAAUAUCAGUGUGGGCCUUAGCCUAGUACAGUAACAGUAUUAGUGUGGGACUUAGCCAACUUCAGUAUAGUAUCCAAGAUGCAUACAAGGUCCUACCCAUCCAUCCUCUGCACUCCACUCCGUCCAACCUAACACUCCAUGUGGGGAUAAAAUCGACCCACCCAUCCCUACACUCCAGAAAAUAGUACGGUUGCGGCUCUAAUAGUAUUUGUAGCAGAGUUGCCAGUAAUAGGCUUGUAGCCAUUCAGUACACUUCCUCCAAUAUCAUAUGUCCCACCCCAUGCAAUGCAACAUAAUAUAAUAUACAUAUAUAAUUAAGAUGGCAUGCUCAACACUUAUAUAUCACAUAAGGGUAUUUCAGUCAUUUGCCUCAUAAGGGUAUAACGGUAAUAACACAAAUUAGGGUCUAGGUGUACUCAUCAACCCAAUGUAAGACCACAGUCAUCUCGUGUGACCCUUGCACCCUUAACAAUUUAAAUAGCGAUAAUGGGCCCAAGGCCAAAAUAUGGCCUAUGUGGGCCCACACACUUGUGUGGCCCAAUAAGCCCAAAUAAUGGCCUUGGCCGUGUAAACAACACAACCGACUCAAUAAUCUCUACACAUCUGUGCAGUUUACCCGUGUAGGGCCCAUGAGCCCGUAGGGCCGGCACGGCCCAUUUUGGCCCACUGUGGCCAAAAAUUGACUUAAGUCCACGAAAUCAUUCAUGGCGGCCUCUUUGAUCGAAUGCCUACGUUUCGUGCAUUCGCCUCACUGUACGAGUGUGCGUACGCUCGUGUAGUGUUAACAGUCGCACAUUUUCGGCGUUUGCCAAUCUAUGAUAAUAGUAGUGUGAUUACACACCUUUUUGCGAUAAGUGCGCCUAGGCCGAGCGUUCCCCAAACCUACAUUCAAUCAUGAUAUUUGUUAGUCAAUUUACACUAGGGUUAAUCACCCUUCUUAAUCCCAACUAUCGUAACACCCAAUACUUGCCUUAAUCAAAGGAUACUUGGCCCUGCAAGAACCGUUGAUGAAAGCUAGCUUACUCCCUUAAUUAAAUAACUGCAUUGACAACAACCCAUUAACAAUGACCAAAACAAAUGUCACGAGACUAAAAUACUUCCUAUUGAAAACAUAACCCAAAGAUAGGAGGAAAUAGGCAUUCAGCCAACCCAUUCCUAAACAAGUCACACAUCCUUUGAACCUCGUAAUUGAAAACAACAUUACCUUGUUUGAGUAAGGAGUGAAGGGUUUGACUGCUCAGUAAUCACUAGCAAUAUCUUCACUCUCCAAGAAACUAGAGCUCACAAGGAACACCACACCAAGGAAAAUGAAGGUAAGAAUCGGCAAGAGGGAAAAAGUAUUUGGAUUUGAGCAAUGCAAUAAGUACUUACCGACUUGUUUGAAGAAAAACACCAAGCCCAACCAAAAGGGAUGGAAAGUUCGGUCCCACAGGCAAAAUGGACUGGAACAACUUUGAUGAACAUGAGAGUCGAAAGAGGGAGAUGGUAAAUUCGAUCAAGGGGGAAAAAGAAAAGAAAGGUGAAGGAAGUAUGUGUAUUUGGUCAAGAGGGGUAGUGUUGAAGAGGUAGAAAGUAGAAACCACAACCCAAAGUGACACUAGAAGAUGAUGAAGAAAUCGACCAAAGUUCAAAAGAGAGAAAGAGAGAGUAAACAGGGUUCAGGCUAAACAAAGAGUACAAUCACGAGAAGGUCAGAAACAAAGAAUAGCGGUAGAUACUGAUUAACCAAUAGACAAAAGGGAGUUCCAAACUGCACCACAAGUGCGAAACAAAAGUACCCGAAGAAUACCAAACAAAAAUCGACCAGCCAACCAAAAAUGCAAAGGAGCCAAAAGAAAAGAAAUUCAAUUACACAUGAAAUGAAGAAAAGAACCCUACCCCACACUUCAGCCGAAUUCCCUUGUAUUUAGAGUCCUUGUACGACACCAACACACCCUUCACUUGCCUCCUCAAAUCUCUCCAACAACACAUUAUCCAUAUCCAUUCAAAACACCUAACUUUUCUCCCCACAACAUUCCUAUAUUUGGUUACAACUCCCCACUCCCCUCGCUACUUUCAACUGCCCAGCAGCAUCAGAAUCCUACUAACAAACAACCCCUGCACGACACCGUAGCAAAAAAAACACCUCUUGAGGGUAGAGAGACUCAAACCCGAGUCCUUUGCCAUAAGUAACAUGCCCCUAUCCUCUGGAUCAACACGCUUUUUAUAACAUAACCUCCCCUCAAUUUAAAUAAAAACCCAACAUCUAACAGCAAGGGUUUAAUUCAGUAAAAACCCAAAAAUUUUGCUAAGGCCCAGGUUUGAACCCAGGACUUCUCACACCUCUUAGGACACCCUUAACCAUCAAAGCAAGCAAGCCAUAUGCAACAGAACACACAAUUAGAUCAUUAACAAAUUUGGGGCGUUAUAACUCUACCCCCUAAAAGAAAAUUUCAGCCUUGAAAUUUACCUGAUCAGAACAAAUGAGGGUAUUAUUAUCGCAUCGCCUGCUAGAGUUCCCACGUGGCUUCGUCAGAACUAUGAUUAAGCCAUAGCACCUUAACCAAUGGAACUGACUUUUUCCUCAAAACUUUCACAUCACGGUCUAAAAUCUGUACCGACUAUUUCUCAAAGGUCAAAUCUGGUCUAACCUCAAUUUUCUUAGUCAAAACAAUGUGUGAAGGAUCAGAGCGACAUCGUCUCAACAUAGAGACGUGGAACAUAUCAUGAAUUUGAUCCAACUCUAGAGGUAACUCAAGUUGAUAGGCAACUGGUUCCAGACGUUUCAAUAUACGGUAAGGCCCAAUGAACCUAGCACUUAGCUUGCCUUUUCGACCAAACCUUAGUACCUUAUUCCACGGUGAGACCCUAAGAAACAACAAGUCCCCCAUAGAAUACUCAAUCUCCUUAGCUUCAGAUUCGCAUAUGACUUCUGCCUGUAUGAUGCCACCUUCAGUCGAUCUCGAAUCAAUCUAACUUUAUCCUCAGUAUCAGAAAUUAAUUCAGGACCCAGAACAAGUCGCUCGCCCAACUCCGUCUAACACGUAGGAGUACGACACCUACGAUCGUAUAAUACCUCGUAAAGUGCCAUCUGUAUGCUAUAUUGGUAGCUAUUGUUGUAUGCAAACUCAGCCAACGAAAAAUAAUCCUCCCAACUGCCCCGAAAAUCAAUCACACAACUCCUUAACAUAUCUUCCAGUAUUUGAAUCACCUUCUCUGACUGCCUGUCUGUUUGAGGAUGGAAUGCAGUACUGAAGUCCAACCUUGUACCCAAUGCUUCAAGUAACUUUUUGCAAAAUUGAAACGUGAAAAGAGGAUCCCUAUCAGAUAUUAUAGAAACCGGUACCCUAUGCAGUCUCACAAUUUCAGACACAUACAACUUAGCCAACUUCUGUAACGAGUAGCCUAUAUGAACGGGUAUAAAAUGGGUGGAUUUAUUCAGUCGACAAACAAUGACCCAUACUAAAUCCUUCUUAGUAGGAUUAAGGGCAGCCCAUUAACAAAGUCCAUUUUCACCCUCUCCUAUUUCCAAAGCAGAAUCUUGACCGGCCGAAGCAACCCUAAAGGCAAUUGAUGCUCCGCCUUAACCUGUUGGCAUGUUAGGCACUUACUCACAGAAUCAGCAAUUUCAUGCUUAAGCCCUAGCCACCAAUACAACUCUCGAAGAUCUUAGUACAUUUUAUUCCCCUCAGGAUGCAUAACAUAAGGACUAUUAUAUGCUUCUUGCAGUAUAGACUGUCUCAAAUAAGUAUCUUUCAAUAUAUAGACUUUCCCACGGUAACAAAGUAUCCCUUCGCUAUUCAGCCCAAAAUCUGAAGUUUCUCCAUUCUCAAUCUAUAAAAAAUGAGAGCCCGACGACUCAUCUUCCAAUUGCUUACCUUUAAUCUAUUCAAUCCACCUUGGUUUAAUUUAAAGUUCGGCUAGUAAACUACCAUCGUCAAAUAAACUAAGACGAGCAAACCUUUCCCUCAAGUCAGUAACAGGCCUACGGCUCAGUGCAUUGGCUACAACAUUAGCCUUACCAAGAUGGUAUUCAAUUGAACAGUCAUAAUUCUUAAGCAGUUCAAUCCAUCUAUGCUGCCUAAGGUUUAGCUCCUUUUGAGUGAGGAGAUACUUGAGGCUUUUGUGAUCUGUGUAAAUAAUACACUUCUCAUCAUAUAGGUAAUGCCUCCAAGUUUUCAGUACGAACACCACUGCGGCCAACUCCAAGUCAUGCGUCUUAAGCUGACGAGACGCAUAAGCCACUACCUUACCCCCUUGCAUCGACACACAUCCUAAACCAACAUGUGAUGAAUCGCUGUAGACAGUGAAUUCCUUUCAAGACUUUGGCUGUACAAGACAGGGGUCUCAGUUAGAACUUUCUUGAGUUUCUCAAAACUAUCUUGCUACUUAUCAGUCCAGUUAAUUGGUACUUCUUUACGCAACAACUUAGUCAGAGGUGCAGCAAUCAACAAAAACCCCUCAACAAAGCGUCUAUAAUACCCUGCCAAACCCAGAAAACUUUGAAUCUCAGAUACCAUUUUAGGCUGUUUCCAAUCCAGAACAGCCUCAAUUUUCCAAAGAUCAACCCUAAUCCCCUCUGCAGAUGCCACAUGACCCAAAAAAGUUACCUUCCAUAACUAGAAUUCACAUUUACUGAAUUUAGCGUAUAAUUGUUUCUCCCUCAAAAUCUGCAGAACAACACGGAGAUGUGCAUCAUGAUCCUCCUCUGUCAUCAAAUACACCAGAAUGUCAUUUAUAAACACCACUAUGAACUGGUCCAGAUAGGGCUGGAACACUCAGUUCAUCAGACUCAUAAAAGCUGCUAGUGCAUUCGUCAGUCCAAACGGCAUCACUAGAAACUUGUAAUGACUGUAACGAGUCCUAAAGGCUGUCUUGUAAACAUACGAUGUAACGCCCUGAUUUUAGAGAUUUUUUGGGUUUUUGUGAUUUUUGGUAAAUUUUGAAAUUUCGGUGUUCUGAAUAUUGGAAUUGUGUUUAAAUGUGUUAGUGGGCCUUUAGAAGGCCCAAGCCUAAGUUAAACACGGUAAAAUAUCAAGGUUGGAUUUUAAGUGAAUAGGGGACUUAGUUAAGUGGGCUUUUAAGAAGAACUUCGUAAAUUAAAGGUGGCAAGGUGGCAAGGUGGCACCACUAGGUUCCUAAAAAAAUGACAUCUGGGAAGGAAUUAAAGGUCCAGGGUUCAAGUUGCAAGGUAAGCAUAUUGUUACUUUUUAAUUUUAGGCAUGUGCCGGGCAUGUGAUCACUUAAGUGAAUUUCGGCAAGGGCCUUAGGAAGGUUGGGCUGAUUGUUUUAGUUGAUAUUAGGGCUAGGUUCAUUUCUUUUUCUAUCUUAGAGAAUUAGGGAUAGCCACCUAAAAGCUUUCACCGUCAUUCAUCCUUUCUGAGUUCUCACAAAAGCCGAAAACGCAAAUUCCUUCUCCUUGGUGCCGAUUUCUUCUUCCUCUCUUUUUCCUCUAUUUUUUCUUCCUUUUUGCUUUUUCUUCUAGCCGAAACCUUCUGAUCACCUUAAUCACCUCCUCUGUCAAUCCCAUCCUCCACAAAACCUCCAUAGCCGAUUGCCAUAAAAGCCAAAAUCCCGAAAACUCACUUAUUGUGCCGAUUUCUCCAAGCCAAAAUCCUUCAGUUAUUUUUGUUCUUUUUGAUCAAAUUUCAUCUUCUCUAAACCCUUAGUAUCUGUCGGCAACAUUACUUCAAAGUUAUAACCUCAAAUCGACAUCUUCUUCAUCACUUAAAAAGCCGAAAUACCAUAGAUUUAGGGACUUAUAGCUGAAACUUCAGAUCUCCUAGAUUCGAGUUCUACUAUCAUUUAGAGGAUAGAUCUACAUCAGAUCUACAAAGAAAUCAAAGAGGAAUAAGUGGUAAGUGCUCAUCACCUCAGAUCUAGUCUUAUUUUACAAUUUAGAAAAGCCGAAGUCCCUAAAAUCUAGGGAGGCUGUCUAUUUAGGCAUAGAGCUUUAAGAGUCUUUAACCGAUGAUUUCUUUUGGUGAUUAGUGUCUUCUAGAGGUUUGAUCAAAGGCUUGGAUCUUUGGAACAACUAGACUUAGAUCUAGUCAUCGAUUUUCGGCAAAAAGGUAAGAUUCGAAAGGCUUUAGGGCAUGGUUUGAAUAUGGGUUGCUGAAUAUUGGGAUUGGUUGUUGUGGGUUGCAAUAUAAGAAUUGUGGUAAUCAAUUGUAAGACAUCGUAAGGGAUCUCAGUAGCAGUCAUCGCGAAAUAGGUGUGUAUCGAACACCCCUUCAUAGUUCAAUUCGGCAAAAGCCGAAAUGCCAAAAUUUUGGCAUUUCGUGGGCUUGUGAGUGUGCGAGUGCUCACAAGACGUUUAGAAAUCAUUAGAUCUGAAAUCGCAAGUGGUAAGUUAGUCGUGUGUGAAGUUUUGUGCACUUCGGUAAUAGGGCCUCAAUAGGCUAAAACUGGGCCCAAUGGGCUUACGGGCCCAUACGGGUAAAUAAUAAAAAUAUUUAUAAUAUAAAAAAAGGCAAUAAGUAUGUUCUGUUAGACCAUAGAAUCGAAACUGCUUAAACCGGUAAACUAGUCAUAAAACUUGAAGUAAAUGGGCUUAAAUGGCUAAUGGACACUGUAGGGCCCAUUAGGGGUUUUAGGGCCCAAUGGCUAAAAUUGGGAAAUUGAGAUAAAUAAAUUACUACGAUGAAAAAUGGGCUAGUAAGGACCGUAACAUUCAUGAGAACCCUUAAGACUGAUAAAAUUACUGAAAUACCUUUAUAGGUGGAAAGUUUACAGUUUUACUCCAAUGAGCAAAAUUACUGAUAUACCCCUAGGGUUAAGGUUGACCUGAAUGCAUGUUUGACUGUUACUAUUUACCGCAUGCCAUGUCAUUAUUAUCUGAUGCAUGGGACUGGGUUAUUGAUGGAGGAAGUACUGAAAGUGGCUUGACCACGUAUUGGAGGCUUUCCCUCAACUUACUGAUAUCUGAGCAGCUAUGCUGCAACUGUGGAGUGUAGGGCUGGGUGGGUUGAGCUAUUCCCCACAUGGAGUGGAGGGUUGGUACGGGUGGAGUGUAGCGGUUGGUUAUAGGCUGGGUUGGGCUUGCAUACACGAAUAUGUCUGUUUUGUUCUGGAAUGGGCCUACAGGCCAUACUGUUAUCUGAAAAAGGGCUAAGGCCCAGUUUAUCGUAUUCUGAAAAGGGCUUCGGCUCAGUACCCGUGGUUAUCUGAAUAGGGCUUAGGCCCAAUGGGCUUUAGCUGACUUGGGCUUUGGAUGGGUUUUUCAUAUACACUGAGUUUUCCAAACUCACCCCCUUUCUCUUCCAUCCUUGUAGGUGAGCCCUAAUUGGUGGACUUGGAGCUUGGCGGGAUUCAGAGUGGCCACGAAGAUUAAAUUGCUGGUUUUAAAUAAGUUUCAAGUAGCUUCCUUUUUAAUUUUCGCAUUUAUUUUUGAUUAUUUCUAUUUUGGUUAAAGUUGUAAUAAGGCCGUUCUAUUAUUUUUAUUUUGGGUUUUUAAAUUACUUAAAUCAUUUUCGACUUGAGAUUAACAUCACUUAGAUUGAUUCCUUGAAAUUGGUUAACUCUGGGUUUAUCAAAAAUUACUUGUUUCAAACCGACAUGACCACCAAACGUCUUUGAAAUGAAGCUCUUCAAAGUACAACAAAAGUCACGUUUUUUCUAAACCCUUAACAAUCGAUGAUGGAUAGGACUCACACUAGUGAAUCGGAACAUUUCUCUUAAAACUUCAUUAAUGGUUUUUGCAAAGCUCACCCAAACUUUAGUAAACUAGGUAACUUGGUUAGUGGUAGGUAAUGUGACACACUGGAUUCAGCCGUAACGUCUAGGCCGGGUUUGUGGUGUUACAUCUGACUCCUUGACCCUUAGUUGAUGGUACCCCGAUCAGAGAUCAAUCUUAUAGAAGACCGAAGCUCCUAGAAACUGGUCGAAUAUAUCGUCAAUCCUCGUAGGGGUACUUAUUCUUGAUAGUCAAUUUGUUCAGUUGCCGAUAGUCAAUGCACAUACGCAUGGUUCAUCCUUCUUCUUAACAAAUAAAACCAAUGCUCCCCACGGAGACACACUAGGACAAAUAAACCCUCGAUCCAGUAACUUUGAAUCUGCGCUUUAAGCUCCUCAAGCUCCUUCGUUGCCAUUCUAUAAGGGGCGAUGGACACUGGAGCUAUACCAAGCAAGAGCUCUACCCGAACUUAACUUCAUGGUUAGGAGGUAACCCUGGUAACUCAUUAGAAAAGACAUCUGAAAAAUCCUUAGCUGUUCUGAUAUCUUUCACAGAUGAAAUCCCAAAACUUGAGGCACUAAUGUAGGCUACAUAUGCCUCACAACCCUUACGCACCAUCUUCUCGGCUUUAAGUGCAGAAAUCAUAUUUGACAGAUAAUUUUGAUGCUCCCUAAUAACAAUUACCUCUUCACCCUUUUCAGCUUUCAGUAUCAUCCGCGUCACAGCACAAUCCAAAUUUGCCUGAUGCUUAACCAGCUAGUCCAUACCUAAUAUUAUAUCAAAUUCCCCAAAAGGAAGUUCCAUUAAGUCUGCUAGAAAGAUCAUUACUUGAACCUCAAAAGAUAUAUCCUUAAACAAUUUGUUCACUCUCAUUGACUGUCCUAAUGGACUCAACACGGUAACCUUACUUGAAGUGUUGUCAACCAUUAUACCCAAAGUCUUAGAUACAGUGCAUGCUAUAUAAAAGUGUGUAGAUCCAACAUCAAUCAAUGCAGUAUAGGGUAUAUUAUGAAUAAAUAACGUACUUGUAAUAACAUCUGGGGCAUCUCUGUCCUCUCGACGAUGUGCAGCGUAAACCAGAGUCGGCUGCCUCACCUCAACAUGAUCAGCACCUCUGCCCACUACUCCAUGACCCCGACACAUACCAUUUCCAUCUCUGGUCUGACCACGACCUCUUGGUGGCUGCUGAAAACCUCUCUGCGACUGGACAGUACCCCUACUAGUAGCUUGCAUCUGAUCGAGCUUCCGUGCACAAUCCCUGAUACAGUGCUCCAUAGAUCUGUACCUCAAACAUGCCCCUAUCCAAACCCAGCACUCACCCUGAUGGCGUUUCCCACAAACAGUACAAGGCUACAACCCAAAAGUAGCAAUAGUGGGCCUAACUCUGACUGGCCCAUCAACUCUGGCCUUCUUUUAGGCCUCAAAGCUGAACUUGAGGGCUCGCAAACCCCCUUGUUCCUUCCCCUGUCCGCCUCACAAUUCUGGUGCUCAGCGUUUCAUAUCCUCGGCGAUCUUUGCCUUUUCCACUAAUACAGAAAAAUCUCGCUCCCUCUGAGGAGCUAUCAAAACUCAUAGAUUAUCUCUGAGAUCGUCCCCAAAACACACAUAGCGCUCAUACUCAGUUGCUACCAUGCCUCGUGCAGAGCGGCUUAAUCGCAAAAAUUGCGCCUCAAAUUCAGCCAUGGACUUAAGCCCCUGGGUCAAAUUCAGAAACUCCAUUCUACGGGCAUCCGCAUAGCUAGCGUCCACAUAUUUCCCUUGGAAUGAAUUCUUGAAAAACUCCCAAGUUAAUCGAUUAGGCUAAGUACCCUCUUCCACAGUAAACCACUAUUAAUAGACUUCAUCUCUCAAUAACGACACUGCACUUUUUAGUUUAUGCUCUGGGGUGCAGUCGAGGUCAUCUAUGAUCAUCUCUGUGACCUCUAUCCAAUAUUCAGCCACAUUAGGGGCAACUCCAUUGAUACCCCUAAAGAUCUCAGCCCCAUUAGACCUGAGUCGCUCUGUUACCAACCCACGACCCACAGUACCAGUAUUGGGCCCAGCGAUCCUUUUUAGAAUUCGUAGAAUAGCUUGAGAAAGUGUGUUAUCCCCAAUUACCCGAUCAUGUGACCUAGUUUUAGUCAAAAGCCGGUGCCUCUCUUGCCUCAACAUUAGGCAUAUGGUCUGAUGCAGAAGACCCAAUCGAGCACCUCCACAGCCUCCGUCGCGGCCUCUUGUACUGCUUCUACGAGUACCUCUGGUGCUCAUUAUCGAUUUACUUAUUAUCUGUAUUAACAAUUUUAUGCAUCAGUUUUAUAGUGCCAGUGUUUAUUAACGGAUGUUUUAUGAAAAAUAGCAUCAAUAAUUCGAAGUUGUUUGUUUUCGCAGAUUGUAAUCUUACUACUGUUUAAGGUUCCCCUAAUAAAGGUUUCAAUACAAUCCAUUAUCUAUGGUAUUCUCAGUAUUUUAAUUAAAGCAAACAACAGUUUUAGAGAACUUACAGAAUCGACACCGGAGAGUCAGUAGACCACACAUCCGGAAACAACACCUCAAAAUAUUUUUCCAUGAUUUGAAACACUUUAAUUUGGAGCUUUUGUUUUUAGGAAAAACCCAAAUCCACAGCUGAGUUUUACAGCCUGGCUCUGAUACCACUAAAUGUAACACCCCAAACUCAGCCUAGACGUUGUGGCCUAAUCUAUGAUGUCAUAUUGGAGUGAUUUUUGAAAAGCGUAGUUUUACUGAAAAAGUCUAUUUAAGUUAAAACCUCAUUUGUGUUAUUUAAGAGAAGUUAACUUAUUUGUUCAUUUGUUAAUUUAUAGGUUUGCUUAUCAAAGCAUGACUCACACUAAAUCAUUGUUACGCUUUGAAAACAUUGUUCGUUGCGGAAGCUUUUAAAACAAGUUGUAUAGCUUGGUAGUUGAAAGUCAUUUACUUUUUGGAAAACCUGUGUCUUACUGCUAAUAGUUAUAAGUCAAUUUAAAUAAGUUCCCAAAUGAAAAUAAAACUUAAAACGGCCUUAUUACAUAAAAUUUACCCAAGUAAAACUACUUUUACCAAAAAUCCAAAACAAAACAUGAACAAUGGUAUGGCCAUCUCUGAGUCCCUCACAGCACCGACCUGCCUAAGGAUUACUUGCACAGAUAGGAAGAAGAGAUGAGUUAUAAAAACUCAGUGUGUAAACCAAAUUUAUCAAAUAGUCAAACAUACAGUGCUGAACAAUCUGGGCCUAAGCCAAUAUCGAUCGCAAUAUCAGUGUGGGCCUUAGCCCAAUGUAGUAACAGUAUCAGUGUGGGCCUUAGCCCACUUCAGUAUAGUAUCCAAGAUGCAUAGAAGGUCCUACCCAUCCAUCCUCUACACUCCACUCCGUUCAACCCUACACUCCAUGUGGGGAUAAAAUCGACCCACUCAUCUCUACACUCUAGAAAAUAGUACCGGUUGCGGCACUAAUAGUAUUUGCAGUAGAGCUACCAAUAAUAGGCUUGUAGCCAUUCAGUACACUUCCUCCAAUAUCAUAUGUCCCACCCCAUGCAAUGCAACAUAAUAUAAUGUACAUAUAUAAUUAAGAUGGCAUGCUCAACACUCAUAUAUCACAUAGGGGUAUUUUAGUCAUUUAUCUCAUAGGGGUACAAUAGUCAUAACAAAAAUUAGGGUCUAGAUGUACUCAAUGACCCAACAAUAGGUCCACAGUCAUCUCAUGCGACCUAUGCACCCUUAACAAUUUAAACAGCGAUAAUAGGCCCAAGCCCAUAAUAUGGCCUACGUGGGCCCACACACUCAUGUGGUCCAAUAAGCCCAAAUAAUGGCCUUGGCCAUGUAAACAACACAGUCGACUCAAUAAUCUCCACACAUCUGUGCAGUUUACCAUGUGGAGCCUACGAGCCCGUAGGGCCGGCACGGCCCAUUUCGGCCCACCAUGGCCAAAAAUCGACCUAAGCCCACGAAACCAAUCAUGGCGGCCUCUUUGAUCGAAUGCCUAUGUUUCGUGCAUUCGCCUCACUGCACGAGUGUGCGUACGCUCAUGUAGUGUUAACAGUCACACAUUUUCGGCUUUUGCUAAUCUAUGAUAAUAGUAGUGUGAUUACACACCUUUUUGCGAUAAGUGCUCCUAGGCCGAGCGUUCCCCAAGCAUACAUUCAAUCACGAUAUCUGUUAUUCAAUUUACACUAGGGUUAAUCACCCUUCUUAAUCCCAGCUAUCGUAGCACCCAAUACUUGCCUUAAUCAAAGGAUCAUUAGCCCUGUAAGAACCGCUGACGAAAGCUGGCUUACUCUAUUAAUCGAAUAACUGCUUUACAACAACCCAUUAACGAUGACCAAAACACAUGUCACGAGACUAAAAUAUAGCCUAUUGAAAACAUAACCCAAAGAUAAGAGGAAAUAGGCAUUCAGACAACCCCUUCCUAAACAAGUCACGCAUAUUUUGAACCCCAUAAUCGAAAAAAAACAUUACCUCAUUUGAGUAAGGAGUGAAGGGUUUGGCUGCUCGGUAAUCACUAGCAAUAUCUUCACUCUCCAAGAAACUCUUGAGCUCGCAAGGAACACAACACCAAGAAAAAGGAGGGUAAGAAUCGGUAAGAAGGAAAAAGUAUUUAGCUUUGAGCAGUGCAAUAAGUACUUACCGGCUUGUUUGAAGAACAAUACCAACCGCAACCAAAAGGGAUGGAAAGUUCGAUCCCACAGGCCAAAUGGACCGGAACAACUUCGAUGAACAUGAGAGUCGAAAGAGGGAGAUGAUAAAUUUGAUCAAGGGGAAAAAGAAAAGAAAGGUAAAGGAAGUGUGCGUAUUCGGUCAAGAGGGGUAGCAUUGAAGAGGAAAAGAGUAGAAACCACAAUCGAAAGUGACACUAGAAGAUGAUGAAGAAAUCGACCAGAGUUCAAAAGAGAGAGAGAGAGAGUAAACGGGGUUCGGCCUAAACAAAGAGUACAAUCAUGAGAGGGUCAGAAAGAAAGAACAGCGAUAGAUGCUGAUUAACCAAUAUACAAAAGGGAGUUCCAAACUGCACCACAAGUGCGAAAGAAAAGUACCCGAAGAACACCAUACAAAAAUCGGCCAGCCAACCAAAAAUGUAAAGGAGCCAAAAGAAAAGAAAUUUGGUUACAAACGAAAUGAAAAAAAGAACCCUACCCCACACUCUAGUCGAAUUCCCUUGUGUUUAGAGUCCUUGUACGACACCAACACACCCAUCACUUGCCUCCUCAAAUCUCUCCAACAACACACUAUCCAUAUCCAUUCAAAACACCUAACUUUUCUCCCCCCCAACACUCCUAGAAUUCGACGACAACUCCCUACUCCCCUCAAUACUCUCAACCACCCAACAGCAUAAGAAUCCUACAACACACAACCCCUGCAUGACACCGUAGCAAAAAAACACCCCUUGAGCGCAGAGAGACUCGAACCCGAGUCUCUUGCCAUAAGUAACACGCCCCUAUCCUCUAGAUCAACACGCUUUUUAUAACAUAACCUCCCCUCAAUUUAAAUAAAGACCCAACAUCUAACAGUAAGGGUUUAAUUCAGUAAAAACCCAAAAAUUUUUCUAAGGCUGACUUCUCACACCUCUUGGGACAUCCUUAACCAUCAAAGCAAGCAAGCCACAUGCAACAGAACACACAAUUAAAUCACUAAAAAAUUUUGGGCGUUACAAAAUUAUUGUUUUUGAUUUGUCUUUAGCUUACACAUUUAUGAAAUUCCUCAAUUCUUCUUUGUAUCCAUUUUUGAAAUAGUACGAGAUGUCGUAUUCAUAAUUUUGAGUAUGCUGCACAUGUAAAAAAUUGAUUUUCUUCAAUGUCAAAAAAUUCAAUUUUGAGCCAGAUUUAUUAACUCGAGCUAUUCUGGAAAGUCAAACAAGAGGUAAUUAAGAGGUUUAAUUAGAGAGUUUAGGAAUUAAGGCUUUUAGACUAGAUUGUAAGGUUACUAAAAUUGGAGGGGUUAAUGCAUGAGUAUUAGAAAGUUUUGUUUAGAACAUUAGAUCUCCUUUUUUUGUAAAUAUUCCAAGCCUGUAACACCCCAAACCCGUCCUGGACGUUAUAGCCAAAUCUGGUGAUGUCACAAUGAAGUGUUUUUCGCAAAAUACAAUAUUGUAAAACCCAUUCUCAACGUAUCCUCUUUGUGUGUUCUUAUAGAGGUUCAUUUAGUUUAAAACUCAAGUCGUUUAUCAAAAUGCUAAUCAUAUUAAAAUUGUUAUUACUUUUUAAAACAUUUUUUGUUGCGAAAGCUUUUAAAAUAUGUCACGUAAACGUAGUGUUUUGGGAAAAACAUUUAUCUUUUUGAAAACACGUGUCAUUUCCUACUGGUAGUAGUUAUAAACCCAAGAAAAUAAAGAAAAACCCAAAUUUUGUUAAUGUCCAUAGAGGCUUUAUUACAUAAACAAAUACCCAAAUUAAAUUACUUAUAAAUUAAAAAUCAAUAAGAAAGCAAGUGCAGUUGUGUGGCCACCAUUGAGUCCCUUGCAGCACUGAUCUUCCUAAGGCUAGGGAUUACCUGUACAGUUAAACAGAUGGGGGAGUUUACUAAAACUCAGUGCGUAAUCCCAUAUAAGCAACCAGUCAAAAAGCAAGCACAGUCUGGGCCUAAGCCCUUUUUAGUAACAGUGACAAUAUCAGUUUGGGCUUUAGCCCAUCUCAAUAUAGAAACAGUCAUGUGUUCAGCCCUGGCCUAUUGCAAUAACAGUAAACAAUGCAGUAAAAGUAACAAUGCAGUAACAGUAAACAGUGCAGUAACAGUAAACAGUGCAGUAGCAGUAAAUAGUAUGCAAGUCCUACCCAUCCAGCCUCUACACUCCAUCUCCGUCCAACCCUACACUCUAUGUGGGGAUAAAAUUAACCCACCCAUCCCUACACUCCAUGUAGCACUGGUUGCAGCACUAAGCAGUAUUUAUAGCAGAGUUGCCAGUAUAAUAGGCUUAGAACCAUCAGUGAUUUGUAGUAGAGCUGCCAAUACAGUACACUUCCUCUAAUCAUAUAAAAACCCAUCCCCAUGCAAUGCAUCAUACAACAUGUCAGAAUAUUAUACAUGUAUUCAAUACAGUUACAAUAGCAUGCUAAAAUAUAAACAUACAUCACAUAGGGGUAAAAUAAUCAUCUUACCAUAAAAGGGAAAAAUAGUCAUUUUACCACAUAAGGGCAAAACAAUUAUUUUACCUCAUAAGGGCAAAAGAGUCAUUUUACCUCAUAAGGGCAAAACAGUUAUUUUACCUCAUAAGGGCAAAACAGUCAUUUUAUCCCAUAAAGGCAAAAUAGUCAUUUUAUCGAUUAAGGGUCCAGGUACACUUAUCGACCUAAAAGAAGGUCCACAAUCGUCUCGGGUGACCUGUGCAACCUUAACAGUCAAACGGCGAAAAUGGACUAAGGCACAUAUUGUGGGCCCAUGUGGGCCCACACGCAUGUGUAGCCCUCAUAGCCCAGAAAUGGCCUUGGCCAUGUAGAUUACAUAGCCUAACACAAUAUUCUCCACACGUUCGUAUGGUUUACCCAUAUGGGGCCCACAUGUCCGUAGGGCCCACACGACCUAUUUUUGUAACACCUCCUAACCCUGAACCGUCACCGGAACAGGGUUACAAGGCAUUACCGGACAAAUCAGACAACUUAAGAAUAAUUCAGAAAUAAAAUAACAUUCAUAGUAUAAUUUAAUAACUAAGUCCCUAUAAUGAACUCUUGAAGUCUAAAACAUGUAUUAAAAGUGAAACGGGACACGUUCAAGUACUCUGGAAUUUUUUUUUUAUAAAUUUUGACAGUAUUUCUACUUAUUUUUACAUAAAACCCCCUGCAAAUUAAACCGUAUCCAUUUCGAACAUAACCAAUUCAACCAAAUUAUUUCACAUACUCAUUUUCUAUUCUAAAUACCUUCUAAUCAAACUCAAUCAAUGUAAUACCAAUUUAAAUUUAUCAACGUACUAAUUAAAUUGAAAUGGAUAAACUUUUUUUUUCAUUAUAAUUCUUAGACUUGUAGUACUAACAUUUUUAACCAUUUAUAUUCAAAACAUAAUAACCUUUAUACACAUCCUAUGUACAUGCCACAUUACCAAAAGAAAAUAUACAUCACCAAAAGUUUGCUGAAGUCGGGUCUGGCUUUGGAUGCUGGUUCAGUACUUGACUUCUACAACCUGCGCACGGAAACAACCGUACGUUGAGUAUGCAUAUACUCAGUGGUAUCACUAUAAUUCAAUUUAUAAUUAAAUACAUUUAAUCAUACACAUACUUUUACAUUACAAUUAUCAUCACUUAAUGAACAAUUCAAUCUUUUUAUGUUAUCAUUUGAAUAUAUAUAUACCAUUCUUAUUUCUUUAUUUCAAUUCUCACCUUUCACAUAUGCCAUAUCAUUCAAAUUUAGUUUUAUCAAUAAAUUUAUUUCAUUUAUCCCUAUUAACUUGACUCGGACUCGGCGAAUACACGGAUUCCAACCAACACGCUAGUACGGCACAUUGUUCCUUAACGGUACACAGUACCUAAACAGUAAUCAGUAACGGUAGCAGUAAUAGUAACAAUAUUCAACACACAAAGUGCUAAAUCUGUAACAGUAAUGGUAACAGUAUCGACACACAAAGUGUCAAAUCAGUAACAGUAGCAGUAACAGCAACAAUAGUCGGCACAUAAGUGCCUGAUCAGUAAGCCGGAAAAAACCCGUACUCUUCCAUAUCCUAUGGCAUGCCAACUAUAUCUGACUAGCUCGACUAGUUAAUAGGGUAUUUAAUUCAAUUUUGAAUACAAUUUGCAUCUAAGUUCGGUAUCAAAUAUAAUUUCUUAUUUCAAUCAGUUUCACAGUAUUGCAGUAAUUCAUUACUUCAGUAAUUUCACCGUUCAAUGCAGUAUACAUAACAAUAUUCAGUAACUUCACAAUUCAAUUCAGUACUCAAAACAAUAUUUAGUAUUCCAUAAUUCAGUUCAGUAUCAGUCUCAAUUUCAAUGCCUAAUCAUAAAUUUAUCAUUUUACUAAACACUUACCUUAAAUACUUACCAUACAUAAUUAUUAAAUUAAACACAUAAUAAUGAUAAAGUUUCAAUUAUAGUGAUACAAACCAGAAUUCUCUUCGAAUUUAAUCCUCGACAAUAUUUUCUUUUCCUUUUUGGGCCGAUGUUUCAGGCUCGAUAUUAGCAAUUAAACUUCAAGCUUUAAAACCUAAUUUUCCCUUUAUUUUUUCUUUCCUUUUUCUUUCCCACUUUCGAAUGGCUUUCUCUAUUUCUAUUCUGUUUCUUUUUUUUUGUUUUGUUUUGUUAUUUAUUUAUUUAUACUUUCGUGCUUUAUUUUAUAUUUAUAUUUAAGUUAAUUUAAUAAUUAUAAAAUAUCUAUUUAAUAACAAUAUAAUUAAUACAUUUGUAUACAUGUAUCUUUGUACAUUUGUACACUAUUAUUAGUAUCCAUUUGUCUUUCUUUUAUUUAUUUGACAAAUAAAAAUCUUAUAAUAUCAAUAUUUAAUUAAUAAAUAUCUUUAACUUAAAAUUUAAGUAAAUGCAUAAUUAUAAUUCAAAUGUAUAUAUUCAUAUUAUUACAAAUGUCAUUAUCUAAUUUGUUUUUCAUACCAAAAAUCUUAUAAUUUUAAUUAUUUAUCUAAUAAAUAUCUUUAACUUAUUAAUAAUAAAUAUCUACUUAAUAAAUAAUACUUUUAUUACAAUAGUAUUAUACAUAUUAUUACACAUGCAUCAUCUCAUGAUCCUAUAUUUGUCAACUUAUUAAUUUAUUCACUAAUAUAAUAUCAAUUAAAUAAUAAAAAUCAAUAGAUAUCUUUUACUUGUUAUUUAAGAAAAUAAACAAAUAUAUUACAAGUAUAUUUUCUUGUAUUUUACACAUAUAUUUAAUUGUAACCAUACAAUUGGCAUGUUUUGGUUUAUUUACUUAUUUAAGUUAUAAAUUAAUAAUACUAUAAAUUAACAUAACAUAACAUAAUAUAUAUAUUUAUAUAUAAAUAAUUAAAACAAGAAUCUUAGAUUUUAAUGCAUACAUGCCGCCUCAUUUCAUAUAAAUGGCUUAAUUUCCAUUUUAGACCUUUUUAUUUUUCUAUUACUCUAUAAUUCAAAUUUUACCCCUUAUUCAAUUUAGUCCUUUUUACUAAUUACUCUAAAUUGAGCUAAUUUCACUUAAUUAAAACAUAAUUAAACACACUACUAGACUUAUAAUUAUUCCUAAUAAUUAUUUAUGAACCCAUUUCACUAAGACGGAGGCCUGAUAACACACUUUUUUGGUGCUUACGAAUUUUGGGUCGUUACAAUUUCAACCCAACUUGGCCCAAAAUGGCCUAAGCCCAUGAAAUCGCUCAUGGUGGCCUCUACGAUCAAAGGCUCAUGUUUAUGCAUUCGGAUUAACACACGAGCAAGGGCACGCUCGUGUAGCAUCGACAGUCACUUAUUUUGGCUUUUGUCAAUUUACAAGUAGGGCAGUGUUUUUACACACCUCAAAUUUAUUUGUUGAGAAACUACCCCGAGCCUUUGCAACCUACACUUGAUCGAAUAACAUCAAUUAUUUAAUUAUCCAAAUACACAAUUGAGAACACACUCUAGUUACCCAAACACUAAAUGGCAAUAUUACCUUAAAAGUAGUUAAUGCGAAAGGUUUCGUCUUCUUAAUGCCUAACAAUGGCUUCCACACCAAAAAUAGAUCCUAGACACCAACCAACAUCAGUUAAGUGUUUGAAGCAGCAACAUACCAGAAAAUUAGGCCAAGGGAGAACAAAGUGGAACCCUUGUUCACUACACCAUGAGAGUAGUAAAAGAAACAAACUGAAAAGAAACAAAAAUGUAUAUUCGAAAUACAAACCUCACAAGAUUUUGGCAAAGGGAAGAUAGGAGAAUAAGAUUAGUCGACAGACAAUUACAAGAAACCAAAGUGGAGAACGUUUGCUCACUAUACCAAAAGAGCAGAAGAAACCAAAUAAAUAUUCGGUAUUGAGGGAGGAAGAAAUGUUAGCUGUAGAAAAGAGGUAAAACCAAAAGAAUAAUGUCCUAGCCAAAACACAGACCAUAGAGAUUUCAGCCAAAAAGGGGAAACAAAAAGAUGGACGGCAACUAGAGAGGCAGAGAGAGAAAAGAAAAUCAUCAAAAACAAAAUUGGGGAAAAAUAUGAGAGAAAUCGAAUUUGAUUAUGCUCACAAAAAAAAAUCAAAUAACUCUUCCAUUAUUCUCUCCUAAUUCGACGACUAAAUCCCCACACUUCAAAAUCCCUUAAUUCUCUUCUAAAAUCCUUCUAAUUGAACACUAUCCACAUCCCAACAUUCCCUCCUACAAUCCCUCUAUGACUAGUUCAAACUCCAACUCAAAUAACUCAUUUUUUCUAUGAUUCUGCGAUCUGGCUUGUUGUAACAAAAAAAUCUUGUUAUUGCAUUGAAUCAACAAUCAGAAGCGGAAGAAGUCCUAUUUCCGUUCCUAUGAUAUAGAAUCAAAAUAUUAUUUCUAUUCUUUUUCUUUCUUCCUAUUUCUUUUUAUUUCCAUUUAUUUUUUAUUUUACUAGAAUAACUAGAAUAAAUAAAUAAAAAACUAUGGAUUUUUGCACAAUCCAUUUUUAUGUUAUUUAUGUUAUGACUAAGUCCUUUUGUCGAAUCCUGUCUAUCAAAAAUCCUAUAACACAAGUCUUCUGACAAAAGGUGGCAAGGCCCUAAUUUUCAGGAUUUUUUAGGCUCCUAUCUUGUAAUCCUAUCUUGAUUACGCCCAAUUCCCCUGUUUGACAAAGGGUCCCUUUAUAUUUAUAUAC